GGGGGGGGGGGGGUCCGAAACAAACGACCCGUCGGCGCGGCGCAGCCGACGUCUCCUCUCCUCCUCCGACAUCCCAGCACCGCCUGGGUGGAGGAGCUACUUGCAACCCCUUUGCCCUUGUCCAAGGGGCGGGGGGCCACGGCGGGGGCAUGGGAAGCUCUGGCGGGGGCGUUGGGGGCCACGCCGGCAGUCUAGGGGCCUUCAACCGGCACAUCGGAAAUCCAGAUCCCGCGAUGGGGGUCCCUACCGCCGGUAUGGCGAACUGCGACGCCGCGCUCAUCGAGGGUCGGCAGCAUGGCCAAAAUCACCGUCCUCAACCCUGCAUCGUCGCGGAGCGCAGGGACGCCCUCGGGGAGGAUUAGAGACUUAGGGACAAAGUACUCACCAGUAAUCCCCUUCACCAGAACCUCUAGCUCCUCCCAGGAUAGGUCGGUCCCCGGCCCACGCUGGAUCCAGCCGAUGUCGUUUGAACCGGUGAACCAGCAACAUAGACGCGCCCUCUGCUGCAAUGGCACGAUACGACGCUUCAGGAAGUCUCUGACCACGUGCAUCGAUGUCAGGCCACCCGCCACCAAGCUCUUGAUCCUGUCCAGUACGAACUAGAACUCUGGCGCCAGGGAUGGCUUGGCCCUCCAUUGCUUCUAGUCGAGUCUUGGCCCGUCGCUCGGUAGGCUGAGGCGAUCGUUGGCCUCCACGCUAGCGAUCACCCAGUCACCGCGCUAGUUCUCCCACCUUGCGUCGCUAAGGGAGGGGAUGUAGGCGCCGGCCGAAUCCGGCCUUGUUUGGAAGUAGUAGGCGCCGAGGUGGUCCUUCGCCUUCCCCGACUUCACUAGCACAAAGAAAUGGCGGAAGAGGGAGGUGCAGGGCGCCACCCCCACGAACAUCUCACACAGGUGGGCGAAGAUGGCCGCCUGGAGGAUGGAGUGGGGGGUGAGGUGCUGAAGCUGGAGGCUGAACUCCUCCAACAACAGCAGGAAGAAAGGCGAGAUCGGCAAUGCCAACCCACAGGAGAUGUAGGAGGUAAACAAAACAAACUCCCCGGCAGCGAGGUCACCGAGGGGGACAGCGCCAGCGCGGAUCCUCUCGGCGAGUGCCGGCGCGCCCCACCCAAGCAGGUGGCGCACCACAUCAAGCGUCGCCUCGGUCUGGAAGCGGUCGGGUUGGCCAAGCGAAGUCAUGGCGUCGACGGCGGCGUAGGUGUGGAGCAAGAGAACGCGAAUGCAAAGGGGCGCGGAGAGCUCGAAGGCGAAAGGGCGCAGCGAGUGGAGAGAAUGCGAAAGCGUAACGGCUGCACGCGGGGUGAAUCCCUUUUCAAGGAAGACUCUCCUGCUCGUGCCCCGAGACGCAGCAAAGAAUCUCGCCCGACGCGCACCAAUAUGACCUAGCCUAUGACACGGGGGCCCGGGCCCACAAGUCAUACAGCUGGUGUGCGGGUCUCCGAGUGCGAAGGAGGCAAACCGCAACGCAAGGAGCGAACCGCCGCUCGCGGUAGUGCGCCUCUUCAUCUCCGCCGAAAACAGCGGCCCAGUCUCUGACACGGGGGCCCAGGCCCACGAGUCAUACUCCUUGGGCGUCGGUCUCCGAGUGCGAAGAAGGCGAACCGCCGCACGCGCCAGUAUCGCGUCUCCUCGAGGCUGCCGCAGAAGACAGAGAAGAUGAAUUUUCAAAACCAAUGCAGCGGUAUCGAGGCACCCCGCGCGUGGCCCGGCGAAACCAUCAAGUGUGGGGGGCAUGGGCCAGUCAGCCGCGGGGACAAACGUGGCAGUUGGCGUGACCGAAGACGGACUAGCAGUGAUUGCGUCAGCAAACGCAUGGAAGCGGCGCGCCAAUCGCCAAUCAAGCUUUAGCCCCACCUGCAGGCUCGUAUCCUCCCCUGAGGUGGGCCCGGGGGCCACUGUCGGUACCCUGAAACAGGGGUACCCCUUACUACAAUAUAAAGACGCGGUGCCCACGCGGCUAUCUCUAGUCGCGUGGUGAGCAGCACCCGACACCACCACGUGAACGGCUCCGGGUCCGCCACAUGGUCAGAAAAGACGAUAUACUCCAAGGUAUCAGCAGUGGGUCCGGACCCCCACGGGAAAGGGACGGACCCCUGUGUAUACGGAUCGGACCUCCGGGUAAGGUCCAGGACCUCCACGGGCACGAACCGGACCCCUAGGAUGGGUCCCGGACCCCUCUGUGUGGGGUCCGGGCCACUCACAACAGGGUCCCAGGAUUCUAGGACAAAGAGUACCCGGACCUUAAUCGAGACCAGGCGGGGGUCCGGAGCCGACACGUGUCCGGACCAUGUCGUCUACUCUUCUGCUCCCCGCUCAGACGGAGACCCAAUGCUGCCACGUGGCCCACUGCCCGUGACGUAAGCCAGUGGGCGGAGCCUGACGUAAGGCCUCUACGCCGCGCGACCUCUGCAUUUAUUGCGGAUAAGCCGCGCCGCCUGUCCACUCCACUGGCAGGCGAUGUGCCACCUCAGCAUUUAAUGAGCCCUGUCCACUCCACUGGCAGGCGAUGUGCCGCCUCAGCAUUUAAUGUGCCAUGUCCACUCCGCAGACGAGCGGCAACCAGGCCAUCCUGCAGGCGGCGUGCCUAUCCAUUCUGUUGGCAGACAGUACGCCCGUGCGGCGGCAUACACUAUGCGCAUCAUCACUCGCGCGUUACCGAGGAAGCAGCGCGGGAUAUCAAUACUAUAUGCACUACGGACAUUAUGGCGCUCAGAGGUCACCCUGGCGUUACAGGCAGUAGUUACUUUCUUCCAUUUUGCCCCUGGGCCCACAUGUCGGGGCUCAGUAUCCUUGUACGUGCCCCCCUUGAGCUAUAAAAGGGAGGGCACACAACGUUACAAGGCAGACCCAACUUAUGCUCUCACACUCGCUCAAACUCACAAGUUCAUGCAAGCUCUCAAGCUCAAUACAUCACACAGUGGAGUAGGGUAUUACGCUCCGGUGGCCUGAACCACUCUAAACCCUUGUGUGUUCUUGUGUUCAUCCCGAUUCCAUCUAACAGGCAAAACGCUUGGGCCCCUCCUCAUCUUAGGAUUUAGGGCGGGUGCGUUCCGCCACCCGGCCGGAGAAUUUCUUCUCCGACACAUAGGAUACCUCAUCAUAGGAGUCUCUACAGUGGGCCACAUAUCAGAAAAGACGGGACAACACACCAUACCGAGCGUAUGUGAGACUACGUACGACGGAAGGUGACACAGGGCAUAUAACGCGAAGCGAUGUCACGUACGCCCGUUCCCUGGGACAAGCUCGCGGGACCUGCACACAUACCACCAGGACAUUAACAACAUAUUUUCUACAGGGACCAACAUGAUGGACAACACCACACAGGAGGUACGAGUACGACCACACAAGGGAAAAAAGACACCACAUUGACCUAGGGAGGCCGGUAUCCCUAUCUCUCUCUCCCUUCUCGUCAGGGGCGAGACUCCACUAUAAAGGCUUCUCCCUUGAUAUAUAAAAAGGGAGGACACUCCUUUCUUCAGAGCACGAGCACACCAGUUGUAACACGCCUCCAAGUAAUACUAUGAUCAACACUACACUAGACUAGGGUGCCAGCUUGAACCUGUAUAAACCCUCUGUCUCAACCCACAUCCGAGACUCAACGACACACCAUUCGGAGUGAGUCCACGCUAGCACCCCUGCCGAACACAAAUCUUAAUGUCCCCGAUUUCCAAAACCACGACAUUUGGCGCACCAGGUAGGGGACUGUUAGCGUGCCAGCAGACAUCUUCCACUCUGAUGACCCAAUCCUUCGAGUUCUCCAGAGGCAAGACUUUUGCCCUAGGAGCCGUGUCACAUUCAGAUCCCUAAACUUCCUUGCCACCGUCGUCGGUGAACUCCGCCUCGUCGACCCCGAUAUACCCUCCGCCGCGAGCACAUAACCCGUCAAUUUCAACGAAAGCAUGGCGGAAAAGCGAUGCCUCAAGAGGCAUGCUGCCGCACUACCAUGACGCCCUAGCUAGAUCACUGCCACUGUCAAGCAACGAGCGGAGGAAGCUCCACCAACCGCCCUCAUGGCCAUCAUCAGCCAUCGACAAACAUUCGACAACAAGUGUCAUCACAAAUCGGCCACACAAGAAAUACAUGUGGCGGAUCCCACCACCCCACGGUACCUCCAAUGGUCAGAGUCCCCAAUCAUCUUCGACCGUGGUGAUCACCCAAACGGGAUCCCGCAUCCCGGGACGACCUCCCCCUUGUCGUCGAGCUGAUUAUGGGCUCGAAGUGCCUCUCCAAGGUACUCAUGGAUGGGAGAAGUGGCCUUAACAUCAUGUACAUCAAGACUCCUUUGACGGCUUGGCGAUCGCACGGUCCGCGCUGCGCCUCAGCUCGCACCGUUCCACGGCAUCGUGCCCCGCUGCUAAGCCUACUCGCUCGGAUGAGUCACUCUGCAUGUCACAUUCGGCGAACCCUCCAACUUUCGUACCGAGCGGGUGCAAUUCGAGGUGGUGGAUUUCCGGGGAGCCUACAACGCCAUCCUGGUGAGACCGUGCUCCGUUAAGUUCAUGGUCGUCCCCAAUUACACAUACCUCAAGCUGAAGAUGCCCGGUCCCCCCAUGGGAUCAUUACGGCGUCUACCUCGUUCGAAGUGGCUUGCGCCCGUCGGAGCUGGGGCCCACCUAUCGGAGCGGCUCAACAAUCUUGUAUGUGUCACCCUUGGACUAUAAAAGAGAAGGCACAUGCGGUAUAAGGUGACAUUCUCAUCCUCACUCAGACCGAGAGGCUCGUUUACGCUCACUCAAGCAAUACAAUUCACAAGUGAAGUAGAGUAUUACGCUCCGGCGGUCGAAACACUCUAAAUCCUCGGUGUUCUUGUGUUCAACCAUCUCAUUUGGCUAACUCUAGGCAGCCUCUGCCGUGUAACCAAUCGAUGAGGAACGUAGGCCCGAUCAACGCAUGUGAGGAGUUUGGGCGUUGGGAGCUGGGCAACCAACCCUCUAUAUAUGAUCCGGCAGCGGACUGUUCUGGGGUGGCUCAAUAAUGGCUGAAUGGUCGGAGGUAAGUUGCGGAGGACGACCACACACAGCUGCGCGCGGUUAUGAUCAUCGUCCACCACGCCUAUCCGUUCCGUUCCGUUCCGUUCCUGCGGGACAAAGCAAUCACACUCGUGCACUCUAUUGCUACAAGCAGCAUCCGGAGCACAUGACAUGAUUGUCUCUUUAAUUUUCCUUCCUCGAGGAAAGUGCCCAAAUAAGUCCGAAUAUAUCAACGUACCUAGCUCUAUUAUUGGUAUAUUGGUACUGUACUAUACAUGAUCACAGCCAAAAAACAUACAGCAAGAGGAGUCUAAUCUCAAAGACCCAUGUACAGCAAGAGGAUGAUGAAACCCCCAAUUAAUAGUUGCUAGUUUAAGUGUAGUGAGACUAGUUUAUAUAAAUCAGUCAUGGAAAUCUCUCCCUAUAGUACGUGAGUGUUUAGUUACUAGAGACUAAUUUUUAGUCCCUCCAUUUUAUUCCACUGUAGUCUAUAAAUUGUAAAAUACGGAAACUAUAAUUCUAUUUUAGUUUCCGUAUUUGACAAUUUAGAUACUAAAGUAGAAUAAAAUGGAGAGACUAAAAAUUAGUCCCUAAAACCAAACACCCCGUAUAUACGUUACCACAGGCACGCAUCGUUAACACCAACAUGGUCUGAUCUCGUGUGUCUCUAACUCUAUCUAUAAAAACAGUGAGGGCUGCAAGCAAAAUUUGCCGGUAUCGUAGUGCUCGCUGUCUGGUACGUCUGCGCUGUGAUCGUCUCUCCCCCCUUGCUUCCUUCCGCAGUUCCGCUGCUUGUAGUUGCAUGCAUGUGGCUGUGAAGAUGAUGGCAUCGUCCACCGAGGAGGAGCUAGAGAUGAACAAGAAGAAGGUGUGCGUGGUCGGCGCCGGCGUCUCGGGGCUGGUAUCCGCCCGCGAGCUACGCCGGGAGGGCCACGACGUGACGGUCAUGGAGCAGAGCGGAGGCGUCGGUGGGCAGUGGCUGUACGACCCGAGGACUGACGCCAGCGACCCGCUCGGUGCUGCCGGCGUGCACAGCAGCGUCUACGCCUCUCUCCGGCUCACCUCGCCCAGGGACAUCAUGGGCUUCUCCGACUUCCCCUUCUUCCCCCGCAGCAACGACGACGGCGACUCCCGGCGCUACCCAGGGCACGCCGAGUUCCUGAGGUACAUCAGGGACUACUGCGACACGUUCGGCCUCAUGGACGCCGUCAGGCUCAACACCAAGGUCCUGCACGUGGGACGACCACUGUUGGACGACGACGGUGUUGUGACGCGGUGGACGGUGAGGUACUGCUCGUCCGGACAUGGUGUCUCUGAGCACGAGGCGGUCGCGGAGGAGGAGUUCGACGCCGUUGUCGUGGCCUCUGGCCACUACUCCCAGCCACGGCUCCCAGCCAUCAACGGCAUGGACAAGUGGACGAGGAGGCAGCUGCACUCCCACUCGUACCGCGUCCCCGACUCCUUCCACGCCGAGGUGGUGGUGCUCGUGGGCUUCCACCAGAGCGGCGUGGACAUCGCGCUGGAGCUCUGCAAGGUGGCGAGGGACGUGCACGUCGUCAGCGUCAAGUCCUUGGAAGGCCUCACUCCCGGCGUGCGCAAGGCUGUGCCCAGGCACCACAACCUGCACCUGCACCUCCAGGCAUGCAGGCAAUCUUACCUGCUAUAUAUAUAUAUGCAUGCAGCUACUACAAACAGAUCCAGCAUGUUCCAUUCCAUUCGUGUUGAUUGAAUUAUUGUGGUGUACAGUACAGAUCGAGUGCUUGUGCGAGGAUGGGAAGGUCAUGUUCGCUGACGGCUCGUGUGUCGUCGCCGACUCCAUCAUCUACUGCACUGGGUGAGCGCUGCGUGCUUCUCCGCUCAACACAUGAACUGCUGACCCAUGAUGCAUGUAUAUAGGUACGACUUCUCGUUCCCGUUCCUGGACACGGGAGGGCUGGUGACCGUGGACGACAACCGCGUGGGCCCGCUGUUCGAGCACACCUUCCCGCCGGCGCUGGCGCCGUCGCUGUCCUUCGUGGGCGUGCCAAGCCAGGUGCAGACGCCGCUGUUCUACGAGGUGCAGGCGAGGUGGGUGGCGCAGGCGCUGUCGGGGCGGAGGCUGCUGCCGCCGGCGGAGGAGAUGCUGCGGGCGGCCGAGGAGUACCACCGCGCCAGGGAGAAGGCCGGCGUGCCCAGGCGCAUGUCGCAUGCCAUCUUCUUCGACUUCGACUACUGCGACGAGUUCGGGGAGAAGCACGUGGGCUUGCCGCGCCCGCCCGAGUGGAAGAAGGAGCUCAUGCGGGCGGCCGUUGCGCGCUUGCUCCAAGACACGGAGACCUUCCGUGACGACUACCGCGACGGUGACCUUGUCCUGGAGAGCCUGCGCCUAGAGGGCUGGUCCUCAGCUCCCUCCCCGGGCACGCUUAACGACAAGGAGAAUGGAAUUGCCAUGCAUGAUAUGAUGCAUGACAGAGAUGGAGAGACACUGGAAUAAGCUACUAGGGCACAGUCAACAUGAAUGAUUUGGCUUCCAGUGCCACAUAUGCAAUAAAGUUGCAACGAUAAGGGUGUCCAAGUUGCUUGGCAUUUGGCAAACCGUGAACACUUUCAUCAAAGAUAAGGGAGGGGUAGAGGGUCCUCUAGAUCCCCCGGCCAUCUGGAUGAAACCUAGGCUAUGAGCCAAAAGCCAGGCAGACAGCAGAGACAGGCAAUCCUACACUCGAUUUUAUUAAGCCUAUAAUUAAUACUCACAAUUGAUCGACAUUAUUGUUCUUAAAAGAUUGAAUCUAACCAAAACCCUGAGCUCUAAUAUGGCGGCUGUGGACCGUGCGUACUGAAAAUAUAUGAGGGUUAGAGGCAUGCUACAUGCAAGACAUCGGACGCCUUCUUAAUGGAUUCUAACACGAUGCUCUAAGAUCGUGGCAAAGUGUAUCUUGGCGCCAUUUUUAUAUCAAACACUAUUUUUAUAUCAAACACUAGAACAAACCAUCUGACGGUACUCUCUACGGGAGCAGGAACGGUCCACGAUAUAGGGUCGGAUGGUCCGCAAUCAUGCUGCAGGAGUGGCUCCCCCACUCUGCGUGCUUCCGGAUGGUCAAUGUCUAUAAUGUCGAAUGGUCCGUGAUGACGCAUAGUCUUCUUCUUCGCAGAAAUCUAAAUCUCGCCUCCAGAGAGGGACCCCAUUGGGGGGAGAUUCUAGGGUGGUUGUCUUAGGGCUGGUAGGCCAUCUAAGACGUCUUUAGACGACGUCAAGCCGAAGAGAGGUGAAGAUUUGAUGUUGAGAAAGACUAAUACUAAGGCUAUAUUACUCCUACUCCUAAUGCAUGGAAAUAACAAGUUAAAUAAGAUCAAAAAAUGGUAAAUUGGUUUGAUUGGAUCGAUUACGUGUGCCAAUAGGCUAUACCUCUUCAUUUAUAUAGGGGGUCUGGACCCAUUCCAAAUCGGUUCCCAAAUAAAUAACAUGGAGUUUGCUAACAAGUUACGCAAGACAUCAAGAACCCUAAUUGAUUAUGUUUCCGCGCGGACCGUAUGCGCCACCACGACGGACCGUCCGACUAGCACUUUUGGUGCUCAACAGAUGCAUUUCUGCCUUUUGGUGGAGCUUGGUGAACCAAAAACACAUGUACUAUCAGCACCCUUUGAGAGACAAUAGAUCCCACAUGUCAUUUUGCUCCUGAAGUAAGAACUUAGCUCGAUGCAAGUCGCCGACUUCUAAUAGGAUAAUCCUUUAUUAGAACUUCUAAUCCAUAAAGGUUGUUUAGGUUUAUAUCUUUUUAGACCAUGACUAUUUGAUGAAUGGGUCAAUAGGCACAAAAUUGUGGUGCCCCAAGCCUAAAUAAGAAAAGGAAUUAUGCAUGUAAUACAGGUUCAUCACCAUAUUAUUCCAUAUUCGAAUAGAAUAAUAUAUUGGUGAUGAGUAGGCUGGUGAAAAGUACCAUGGAAUCACUAGAGAUGGAUGAACAACCAACACUUGUUGCGCCGUCUUUUGGGUCAUUUUCAUCGAUCGUGUUACUUUUGUGGAUGACUGAGGUUGCUUUGUUGGCCGACCACAUAGGACAACCUUCUCACUAACUAUUCAUGGUUGUCGAGGCUUGAAGGCAUAUGGAUGCUGCUGCCUCUCAUUGCUACCAGACCAUUCGGUUGAGUCAGCCGGACUAUCCUUGUGGGCUCCAGACUGUUUCGCACAUGUGACAGACCAUCCAUGAUGCGCAGGACAAGGAGCUUUGAUCGACUGGUCGAUCACGCUCACCCCCGUGCCUUCGGUCUUAUUAGUUCUCUUGUCCGAGCCUUCUAAGUAACUACUCUCCAUGAUAUUUUGGGCAUACAAGGAUCACCGAUGAUAAUAUUUUUGUCUUUGUCUUUAUCGGCCUCUUUCGAUCGAAUCAAGACUUUUUUAUCUGUCGGUUCUAUUAUAUUGAUAGUAAAUGACUGUUUGUCAAUUUGCAUCUCAUGAAAACUCAACCGACCGUCAUUUAUGGCCAAUUGUAUCUGUCGACGAAAACUUUACAACCAUUGGUGGCAUAAGAAAAAGAAUUAUGCUACUUGCAAUAAGUAGAUCUUGUACUCUCUUUAGUUCAUCUUGAGAAGGAAUAGUAUGAGCCACUUCAAUGUUGCCACUUUUUAAUAGCUCAUCAAAUAUUUUGCCACAUUUGGCAACAUUAAAAGUAAAUUUAACUUAUUCCUAUCGGUUAUUUUGAACCAGCUGCAAAGAACAACAUGACGAAGGUUUGGCCUUUAUUGGCCAAACAAGUUCAACGGUACAUACAGUUACGGAUUCAUCAUCUGAACUACUUGAAUCGCGCUCCACUAGAUACACAUUAUGGCCAGCUGAUUUGGAUGCUUCUUGCUCUGGCUUUCACAUACCAAAGCCCGCUGAUGUAGUUGUGCUAUUGAGAAUAACUGGGUGCCAUCUAAUUUUUCUUUUAAGUAAGACCGCAACUCUUUAAAACCAGCCCUACUAGCUGUUUAUCUGUUACAUGAAUUUGGAAGCAUCGAUUUCUAGUGUCCCAAAAUCUCUAAAUAUAGUCAUUAACCGAUUAAUCACGCCCCUAUCGGAUUGAAGCUAAAUCAGCUAAUUCCAAUUCAUACUCCCCAAAAAAGAAAUGCUCAUAGAAUUUACUCUAUAAAUCAUUUUAGUAACUAAUGGAAUUAGGAGACAGAGCGGUGUACCAUGCAAAAGUGGUACUAGUAAGGGAUAAGAAAAUAAAUGAACACAAAAGGCUUACCUAUUAGUCAAUUCACCUAGUUGUACUAGGAGCUGGUCUAUCUGCCUAUGUGGUCAUGUGUGCUUUUGCCACAUUUACUAAAGAAUUCGAAAAACUUCGGUAUCCUAAUCCCCUGCGGGUAUGGGAUAGUGUCAAACCGAUGAUCAUAUUCCUUUUGAUAUGAUUGCCCUAAUCUGGUCACACUUACUUUGAUCCUUUCUCGGUAUAGUUCAACCAUUCCUUCCAAUUUUUUCCAUAGUGCCCGGUGGCAUGCUACCGGUCUUUGGGAUGUGAGGCUCAUUUGGCCGGGCAUUAUUAUGAUGGCAUUCUUGCGAUGACCGAUCAAAAAUGAUGUUUGUCAUGUGAUAACAUGGUGCGCUGCGACUUUUAUAUGUAGGCGGAAACAUAAUGGUGUUGCGGCACAUAAUAAAUUGGUGUGUUGUGUGCAAUAAUAGGUUGUGCGUAUGUGUAUCCGGACGGUCUGCCCUAGGUGAUAGGACGACUCGGUGUGAUGACGGGCGAUCCGAGUGUGUACCCAGACUGUCUGGUCGUGUUUGUUACCACUAGGGGGCAUGUUGUGGUCCCAGCGUGGUUCUAAACUAUUCGGUAGAGAGUGUCGAACUGUCUGCGUCAGGACCAGACAUUCUAUGAUUAGAUGCGGACAGUUCGAUCACAUCUAGUGUCGUCGAUCUGUCAAGCAGAGACGACGGUGGUAUUUGCCAUGGAUAUGAAUUCAUCGGCAUACCGUAUAAUGGUUGGAGCUGCGAAUCUUCAUUUGUUGCCGAUGUAUUAGGUACAUAUAUCAUAUUGCUAAUUUCGUAUGACAAAGAACUAGGAGCAACAAUUUAUCAAAUGUGCGUGUUAAUUUUCUAAUUGUUUCUUCCAACCCUCUAAUAUAUUGUUUCAUUUGAUUUUGUUGUUGAUAUAUAUAUUGUUUAAUAGAUUGGAUGUCGUCAGACUUAAUUACAUUGGAGAUUUGAAGAGAAGGUAGGAGAGAUGCGAUCUGGAUCACUCCAUGCUUGGUAAUCUUCUAGUGCUGAUCUACCGUGAAUUAUGAUAAGAAUUUCUCCUUCGCCUCCUCUUAAACAUUGGCGAGUUGGUGGUGUGUCCUCUCUCACUUGGCUCAUGAGAUCCUGAUAUCGUUGUUGUUCGUCAACCGACAUACUAUCAACAGUCGGUCCAAGGAUAUUAUCUUUGGAAACGCUAGUGCGAUCUUUAGAACUGGCCAUCCACGACCGAUUAUAAUAUAUACAUCUAGAACACAUUUGGUCCCCAGUACAGACACUAAAAAUGUGUUGCCGUCAAUUUGGUACCCAACACUAGAACGAACUACCUUGCAGUGAUAUCUGCGGGAGCGUGGACAGUCCGCAACCUCGCUGCAUGAGUGGCUCUUCUCUGUGUGCUUCUGGAUGGUCCAUGAUGGCGCAGAGUCUUCUUCUCUGUAGAAGCCUGAAUCUCGCCGCCCGGGAGGGAUCCUGUUGUGGAGUAGAGAUCCUAGGGUUGUCUUGGGUUCGACAGAACACCUAAGACACCUCUAGAAAAUAUUAAGCCAAAGAGAGAUGAAGAUUUGAGGUUGAGAAAGAUUAACACUAAGGCUAGAUUACUCCUUAAGAAAAAUAAUAUAAAAAUGGUAAAUUGGUUUGAUUGGAUCGAUUGUGUAUCGCAAUAGGUCGUACCCUUUUAUUUAUAUAAGGAUGAAGUCUGGGCCGUUGCAAAUCAUACGAAGUUUACAACAAAUUUUGUAAAAAAAUAGGAAGCCUAAGGGCUUGUUCGGUUUGAUGCUAAUCCAUGUGGAUUGGGCGGUAUUGAGUCGGUUUAAAUCCAUAGUAAGUCAAAAUCUAACUCAAUACAUUCCAAUCCCCUCCAAUCCACAUGGAAUGGAAAUAACCGAACAAAGUCUAAGGUCUUGUUCAUUUGUGCCGGAUUGGUGGGUCGGAACGAUUUCUAGCUGGAUUGCUUCUCUAAUUUAUAUAACUUUUGAUUAGCUGGAACGAUUCCGGGUGCAAUCUGACGUAACCGAACAAGACCUAAUUGUUUUUGUUCCCGCGCGGAUCGUUCACGCCAUGAUGACCGUCUGGCUCGCGAGAUUGUCAAGCUUGUGCAGAGUGGGAGCAGGGACGAAUCAUGAUAUAAUAAUAAUAGUGACAACGAUGAUGAUUAGUAGGAGCGGUUGAAGUGAGUACGAAAAUGAAAUCAGAGAUGACUAAAGACUCGCAGCCAGCCAAUCAAUCAAACGAGCGGCAUGUCGGUCCACCUCCACCAGCGGAGAGGCCAUGAUGCCAUAUAUAGAUGGCCAACCGGGCCGCACGACACUGGCACUGGCACUAGCACGACCAGACACGGCACGACCAGGCACGGAAAAAGAUAUGUAUCGUGCCUGUUAGUGCCCCUGUGCUGGGCCCUCGGCCCAGGCACGACACUAACAGUGCCUAGCCGUGUCGUGCCACCAGGCACGGCGGCACGCCAGUGCUAGUGCCAGCACGGGCACUAUGUAUAUAAAAAAUGGUCACAAAGAGAGUAAGAGACUAAUCACAAAAAAUGGUCACAACAGAUAUAAGAUGAUUUUAUUAUGACUUAACAGUUUCAAACAACAUAAAAAUGGUCACAAAGAGAGUAAGAGACUAAUCAAACAACAAUUUUAUUAAGAGCUGUAGUGUAAUGGCUGCCUCGUUAAAAACCUGUCUAGGUAAAACUCACCCUUGUGAGAAACCCUAGAUAGGAAAAAAGAGUACAACCCAGCUCAUUAAAAAGUUUAUUGUCCUUACAACAAAGUCCAGGUGCAUAAUAUUACAGUCCCAUUACAGAAAUGGUCACAAAGAGAGUAAGAUACUAAUCAAGAUAAAGAUUUUCAAAUGUUUCUUCAAGCUCUUUGUCAUCCACCAUGUGUUGCAUCCUUGCUUCAGCAUCCUCCCAAUCUUUAAUACAUGUCAACAUCUCAACCACAUCAGACUUCAACCUCCUCCUCCGCUCGUUAAUGAUACUGCCAGUUAAACUAAAAGUGGAUUCUGAAGAGAUGGUAGACACAUGAACAGUUAAAAUAUCUUUAGCCAUAAUUGACAGUACUGGAUAAGUGAGUUUGUGCUGAUGCCACCAGUGCAAGAUGUUGAAAUCAUCAAUUAACUGGUUGACAGUGUCACAAUCUAAGUAAGAAAUGAGUUCAGAAGCAGUAGAAGUUGAAGAGCUUGCAGCAUGCAGUAGAGCAGUUGCAGAGGUAUCUCUAGCAAUGUUUAGAGUAGAAGCAAAAGAAUGCAUACCAACAGAAGUACCCACAUCAUCAGCAUCAUCAUAAAUUUCAUCCCAAGCAGUCCGUUUCUUACCAGACAAGUUAGGAGGGACAACCCUGUUCAAUCUAACAGAUCCAUAUUUCUCUUCAUAUUUAUUAUAAACAUCAGUAAGCUUAGCUCUAAUGGUAACCUGAUAAACAACAUAAUCUGUACUUGUCAGGUUCAUUAAUCUUCUAAGCACUCUACUAAAACCUUUCAUUUUAGCUCUAGGGUCCAAGAUGAAUGCAAAAGAGUAAAGUAAAGGGAUGUUCCUCCAAUAUUUAUUAUAUUUAUCUAUCAUAGGUUGAAUGAAACCUCUGAUAUGAGUGUCAUUAGCAUAGUUCUUUAGAUGUAUAGCAAUCUUAACAAGAAAAUGAAGCAUAAGUGGAGAUGUAGGAUAAUAAACACCAGACAAUGCAACAGCAGAAUCAUAAAAUAGCUCAAGAAAUUUAAGUACUUUAUCUCCAAUAACCCAAUGUUCAUCAGUUAAAAUAAAUUGAUCACCUUCAGCCCUAGGAUAGUUUGCAUGAAUGAAAGUAGUGAAAGGUAUCCUAUGAGGAAACAAAUGCUUAAGCAUCAGAUAUGUAGAGUUCCACCUAACCUCUAUUUCCAACUGGAAUUUUCUAGGCCUAAUAUUAGUAGCAAUGCAAUAACUUUUAUAUGCAGCAAUUCUCUGAUUAGAGGAGUUCUAAUGUAGAAGUAAGAGUCUCAACAAGCUUAGCCUUUUUGUCAGUGAAGUAUUUAACCAUGUCUCUGGUGGUGGUUUGCCUAGAGACAGGCACAAAUUUAGGAUUAUGAGCAGUUCUAAUGUAGUGUUCAAAUGCAGCAUUUUCACCCAAACUAAUAGAAAUUUCUAGCCUAGCAAGCAAUCGAACCAAUUCAUUAUGUGCAACCAUAGGACAGUACUCCCAGUUACGCAUACUACCAUCAGGAUUAAAAGAUAUCUGAGACUGAUACAUGCGGGUUUUUUCACGCCUCCUGGGACAUCUAUCUCUAUGUCGGGUGAGGUGGCCAGUGCCACCACUAGAGAGAGCAGAAUAUUGCUUAGAGCAAUGUAUGCACUUAGCUGCAAACCUUACCUUCUUACCGUUCACGAUUUUGAAAAGUUUCUCGAAAUCUAACCAGACUGCAGAAGUAGAAGGACGACAACGCUUGGCACUGUGUUCGUCCCCUUCACCUUCCUGACCACCGACUUGUUGUUCAUCACCGACAUGGACGGGAUGCUCACUGCUAUGGCCAAAGAGCGCUGCAGCAUCCUCCCGGAGGUCAUCCUCAUCGUCAUCUCCGGUCAACCCGCACAACCGUCGCUCCUCGUUGCAGUCGAUCUCAACAGUUUCAUCGUCGGAGACGGCCAUCGACCCACCUCGGAGUCCCGGUUCCUCAACGGAGUAAGCCGGAGCACCGAAAUCUAGGAGAGAGGAGAGGACGACCGGUCCGGCCAACCGGUUCCUCCACGGAUUUGAAUCCGGAGCACCGGAGCUAGGAGAGAGGAGAGGGAGACCGGAGCUAGGAGAGAGGAGAGGGAGACCGGAGCACCGUAGCUAGAAGAUAGGAGAGAGGAGUCCCGGUUCCUCAACGGAGUAAGCCGGAGCACCGAGAUCUCCGCAGAAGCGCAGAUCACACCGGAGGCCGGAGGGGGAGAGGGAGACCGGAGCUGUGUGCCAGUGCCGGACAGUACCGGAGGGGGAGAAGAAGAUAGGAGAGGGAGACCGGAGCUAGGAGAGAUGAGAGGGAGACCAGAGCUAGGAGAGAGGAGAGUACCAGUGCCAGUGCCGCCGUAUCGGACCCCGGAGUCCCGGUUCCUCAACGGAGUAAGCCGGAGCACCGGGAUCUCCGCAGAAGCGCAGAUCACACCGGAGGCCGGAGGGGGAGAAGAAGACAGGAGAGAGGAGACAGAUGAGGGAGAAUGGAGCACCGGGAUCUCCGCAGUAGCGCAGAUCACACCGGUUCACAAAUGCGUAGAUCCAUGAGUCGUGCGCGUGUAAACCCUAAUAAGCCGGAGCACCGGGAUCUCCGUAGAUCACACCGGAGGGGGAGAAGAAGACAUGAGAGAGGAACUAGGGUUAUGGAUCUGAGUUACCCGGUUCACAAAUGCGCAGAUCCGAGCGGGGGAGAGCCGGAGAGGAUCUCCGAUGAGCGACGAUCGAUCCAAGCGGAGGCGGAGAGCUGGAGACCGCAGACCGGAGGCGGAGAUGGAGACUGCAGACCGGAGCGCUUAGCGGAGGCGGAGGCAACGAGGGAGAGGAGAGUUCGCUGGUCGCCGCCGAAUCGCCCGCGGCUGAGAGAGAGCGAGUGAGGCAGUGAGCGAGUUAGGGUUUGAGUGUUGCGGCUGCGCGGCUGGGGGCUGGGGUGGUUUACACGUGGACGCGGUGGGGCGGUGCGGCUCCGCGCCUGGGCCACGCGCGCUGGCAAAUGGGCCGUGCCGAGGCCGUGCCAGCCCAGUUAGUCGUGUCGUGCCUGGGCCGACACUACGGGCCCAAUUGGUGGCCCAGACACGGCACUAUGUACGGGCCGUGCCCGGCACUGGCACUAAAAGGAACGAGCUGUGUCGUGCCUGGGCCGUGCUUUUUAGUGUCAUGCCUGGGCCGGCCCACCGUGUUAGUGCCAUUUGGCCAUCUAUAAUGCUGUAAUGGCGUCGUCGCCCAAGAAGAAGAAGGUGGGGUACAGAGCUACGACAUUUUAUAUUGACGAGCUUAUACAUAUUGAUUGAGGACAUUAUAGUAUAUAUUAUUGAAGACUUUAUUAUAUAUUGACGAGGAGCUUGCAGAAUCGAAGUAGGAUUUGCAAUUGCAGCCAGCCAAUAUCAGACGAGCAGCGUGUUUGCAGCUCCAUCGGCUCGGCGGAAGAGGCGAGAUGGCGUCGUCGUCCAAGAAGGUCUGCGUGGUGGGCGCCGGCGUCUCGGGUCUGGUCUCCGCCCGCGAGUUGCGCCGGGAGGGCCACGACGUGACGGUCAUGGAGCAGAGCGGCGGCAUUGGCGGGCAGUGGCUGUACGACCCGAGGACCGACGCCGACGACGCCCUCGGCGCGCACAGCAGCAUCUACGCCUCUCUCCGGCUCAACACGCCCAGGGAGAGUACGGGCUUCUCCGACUUUCCCUUUGCCUACCCCAGCAACGACGACGGUGCCGGCGACGGCCGGCGGUACCCGGGGCACGCCGAGUUCCUGAGGUACAUCAGGCGCUUCUGCGACGCGUUCGGGCUCAUGGACGCCGUCAGGCUCAACACCAAGGUCCUGCACGUCGCCCCGUUGGCGCCGCGCAGCCACGGCGACGGCGUGACGCGGUGGACGGUGAGGUGCUCGUCGAGACUUGGUGACUGUCAGGACGAGGCGGUCACCACGGAGGAGACGUUCGAUGCCGUCGUCGUCGCCGUCGGCCAAUUCACCCAGCCAAGGCUCCCCGCAAUCAAUGGUGGGUUCCGAACGGUCAUUACAUACAUACAUAUCAAUGAAUGAUUGAGAUCUGAAUCUGAGAUCUUGGUCAACUGAGCUGCUGCUGCUGCUAUUAUUUAUAGGCAUGGACAAGUGGAGCAGGAGGCAGCUGCACUCCCGCUCGUAUCGGGUCCCGGACUCCUUCGAAAACCAAGUGGUGGUGGUCGUGGGAUGCCAGGCGAGCGGCGUGGACAUCGCGCUGGAGCUCCGCACGGUGGCGAGAGACGUGCACAUCAGCGUCAAGUCCGUGGACGACGACGUCGCCGUGUCCCCCGGCAUGAGGAAAGCUGUGUCCAGGCACCACAACCUGCACCUCCACGUCCAGGCAAGUUUCUGCUGUGGCUUGUUCGUGGAUAUCUAUAAUAGUCCGGAGGAUCGACAAGAAUGCAUGUGUUUAUGUAGAUCGAUAGCUUGUGCGAGGACGGGCAUGUGGUGUUCGCCGAUGGCUCCUCGGUGGUCGCCGACGCCAUCGUCUACUGCACCGGGUGAGCGCGCGACAAGUCUUUAUCAAAUGUUCCAUCUUUUUCAGCUCUUACUAAUAUAUACGAUCAUAUAAAUCCGCCAUGCAUGGCACGCAAAUGUAUGAAUUGAAGGUACGUCUACUCGUUCCCGUUCCUGGACACGGGAGGCCUGGUCACCGUGGACGACAGCUGCGUCGGCCCGCUGUUCGAGCACACGUUCCCGCCGGCGCUGGCGCCGGCGCUGUCCUUCGUGGGCGUACCAAAGAAGGUGGUGGUGCCGCGGUUCUUCGAGGCGCAGGCGAGGUGGGUUGCGCAGGUGCUGUCUGGCCGAAGGUCGCUGCCGCCGGAGGCCGAGAUGCUGCGCUCAGCGGAGGAGAACAACCGCGCGAGGGGGAAGCACCUGGCGCACGACAUCCUCGACGACUAUGACUACUGCGACGACUUCGGGGAGAAGCACUGUGGGUUCCCGCGGCUGGAGGGCUGGAAGAAGGAGCUCCGUUGGUCGUCCCUCGCGAGGAGACACGACAGCACGGAGAGCUUCCGUGACGUCUACCACGACGACAGCAACUUGAUUCGGGAGGGCUUUCAAGCAUAGGGGCUCAGGCUCGCAGCACAAAAUUCUUAUUCCCUCCGUUCUUUUUUUUUUGAAGUUUUAGUUUAAAAUAAACUGUCCGACAAUAAAUAUUCGAGAACGAAAAUAUUAUUUCUUAAAUCUAUAAUGGAGCGAGAAAAAUAAAAUGGCCUUUAAGAUCAAAGAAAAAUUUGUUUUGUUGGAAACAAAACAAUUUCAUUGAGAAGACAUACUUGCACGAUAUUAUAAGCUCUAUUAUUAGGAUACAAAGAGCUAAGGCUAUUUACAACAGAACCCAAACGGACACGCGCAUAUGCAUUUUAUGCGAUAAUGAGCCACUCAACAGAGCGCGGACGAAAACAUAGAAAAUAUGUGCUCACGCUCCGUGUACCCAAAAAUCCGUGGACUUUAAGGGUCUAAUAUUAAAUCAAAUUUUAAUAUUUUCUCUAACAUUACAUCAGAUUCUAAUAUUUUAAAAAUUCAUAAUUAUCCCAAAAAAUAUUCAGAUAAGUUUUUUUUCUAAAAGAUCUAUAGUUUUUAUGAUGUUUAGUUGACCUCCUUGAACUAUCAAAGUCUAAUUUACUCCUCUUAUUGUUGGUGGUGUGGGGGCCAUGUAGGAUGACUAACGUGGCACCAUAUAAGAUGGUUGACAUGGCGCCACCUGGGCCAAAACCAUUGAAGGCAAAUUGGAUGGUUUUAAAAGUUAGAUGAGCCAAAAAUCUAGUUUGUUGGUUCAAAGAGAUAAAUUGGACUCACACAAUAGUUGAGGUAGGUUGAUGAACUUUUCACAAAAAAGAGUAGAGGAUUUUGGCUAAGAAUUUAAAUGGGAUUUGAUGCUACAUAGAUUAGAAAGGAUUUUGGAUUUGAAUAAAGUUGGUUUCAAAACGUUUGAUUUUUUCAGUUAUUUUGAAAAUCAUUUAGAAAUAUUUGGAACUUUGAAACUAUGAAUCAAAUUUUUCAAUAUGUUAUAAACUUGUUUGUGAGAUAUAAUUGAAUCUAGUUUUUAGAUGGACCAAAACUAUCUAAUUUUUAAAUUCACCUUCCAAACGUAACCAUAAUACAAAGCAUGAAUACAACAAACAAUUUAAAGUAAUUUCUAAAGAUAUAUGGAUAAAACUUUGUACCAGGUGAUAAUGGGAGCAAUCCUUAUAGGUGGGGCUCUAUGUCAUUAGGGACGACAACUUCAAAUUUUUGAAUUUAUGAUGUUUACUAGUUGCCAAUUAUGACAUGGUAAAGACGUAAAGUAGUUCACGCUAAAUAGAAUUGAACUAUUAGUGUCAAACAUCUCAUUUUUAUCACUAAGCUAUACUUCUUUCAACAAAGUUUCGUAAACUAUACUACUUUAGCGACAAUUUCAAUGGUUGCUUAUCAUAUUCAUCAUAAAAGGUCAUAUACGUAAUGUAUUGUAGUGUAUGAAAGUAAAGUGAUAUUUUCUUGUUAUGGAUCUGUUACAAUUAAAUAUGGUGCCAAAAUUAAGUUAUCGGAAGAUAAAUGGUUAAAUAAUGCAACCUAUGAGAACAAUAUCCUUGUAUACAAACAUCACUCAACACAAAACAAGCCAUGGAUAAGGGAUCUUGUAGGGACAAAAUAAAUAUUGAACGCAUGGUUUUGACUCACCGCGACUUUGUGCUAACACCAAAGUUAGAUGGAUUUCGUUAGAAUUUCAUCCUAAAUGAGCAUUUAUUAGUAAAAUCUAACCAUGUUGUUCUAGACCCCCUUUAACAAAUGACCAAAAAAGAAGGUGCCACUCAAAAUCAAAAUCUUCGUUUGGUACCAUAUAAUGUUUGAUACUAUUACUAAUGGGUAAUCUUGCUGGCGCAACUACCAAUGCAGCAAGAAUGGGUGAUCUUAUCACUAAGAUGAGAUAAUUAAUUAUUAAUUUUUAGAAUGAAAAAAUCUACUUAAUCUCUUUUGACUAUUGCUGGUUGCUUACUUCACCUUCUUACUUAUAAAACCGUUUGUUCCGCCCAUAAAUUAUUGAAAUGUCUCAAUAACCCUCUGGGUAGUUUUUAAGGUGAUUUCGCUGAUGUGGCAUAUUUAAAAGUUUACAUAACCCCAAAAAAAAUCAAGGGUUCAUAACAUAACCCGGUCAAUUACAAAACAUGAUACAAUAACCCUUAAGUAUGUAAUAGUGUACAAAUGAUUCUUCCUAGAUGGUUUUAUAUGGUCGUUUGGAUAUCAUAUUCCACCACAUUGGUGGCCUAACUACCCGUGUUUGCACGUAGGUCCACUGUCUGUGUGCAAGCAUGGGUUUUAAGCUAGCGUAGUGGGAUAUGCAUGGUGUUCAAACAUCCCUACAACACCAUCUAGGGUCAUUUCAAUACUAUUAGAUGCUUUUAGCGCUAUAAUAUCAUAUUUUAUAAUCGAGGUGUUGUAUUGUCAAACCUUGAUACGUUACACGGCUAUGUAGACUUUAUGUCACAUCACUGAAAUCACUUACAAAACCGCUUUAGCUUUAUUCAAGAUGAUUUUAAAGUUUAAGGAAUAGAACAUAUAUUUUAAUAGUUGAGAAGAUGAAGUAGACGGGCACCAGUAGUUUGAGGGAUUACAUAGACUUUUUCUCUUUAAAUUAUCUUACAUAUGUGCAGUAUAUGGUCUAUUAUCUUAAAAAUGAAUGGUUCUUUAAAAAUUAAAGCGAGAACUUUAACAAUUUUAGGGCAACAAAAGUGAGGCCAAAGACAGGUGGAUUCCAUCCACGACCCCGCCCCACCAUAUCGCCGCCGCCGCGGUGAGGUCGUGACGCGUCCGGUGAUCGUGGCGCCGACCAAGGACCUGACCAUCGUUCGUUCUCCGCGACUAAUGAGGCGUGGUUAAGAAUGGCAAUGUGUAUAUAUCCGUCAGGUACUACCAUUACAUACCUGUACCCAUCAAGAAAUUUAUACCCGUCAGGUUACCCAUAUAUAUACAUGGGUAUAAAAUUUUAUCUAUAUCCGUACGGGUAAUUUUACCCGUCGGGAAAUCCAUACCCGCUAGGAAGGUCUAAAAUUUUAAUAUUCCAAUCACCCAAAAUGUCAAAUAAACAUAUAAAAUUAAGUUCAACUUAAAAUAUAGCAUACACUAGUAGAAAAGAGCUCAUAGCCUGCGGCACCCAUAAAUUAUCACUGGCGGUUUCAGUUAUCGCGCGCCAGUAAAAAAACAAGGUGGGCCCGGCUUAGGAACCGCCAGUGGAAAUAGGUUUCCACUGGCGGUUAUCUUAACACAACCGCCAGUGGAAAUAGGGUAUUUCCACUGGCGGUUGGUGUAACAGAACCGCUAGUAGAAACCAAUUUCCACUGGCGGUUGGUGUAACAGAACCGCCAGUGUAAAUACCCUAUUUCCACUGGCGGUUGUGUUAAGAUAACCGCCAGUGGAAAUAGGUUUCCACUGGCGGUUUUUCAAGCCAACCGCCAGUGAACUGUCUGUUAUAAAUACCUCACUUCUUCCCCGCGACAGUGAACUGUAUGCUCGCAGCCAGCUUUCAUUGGAGGCGAUUUUGGAGGUCCAGAUUUCACAAAAAUAUAAGGGGGGAGGUUUUGGUCUUCAUUUCUUGGAAGAAGGUGGAUAAGAAAGGUUGGUUUAUGUUUCUUUGUCAAUUUUUGUUCAUUCUUGCUCAAUUUUAGCCACAUUUUGGAUCUAGGGUUUUACAUGUGAGAGAGAAGAGUAUAGCUAGGUAAUUUUCUCUAUUUCCUCAAAUGAGGUUGGAUAAGAUGGUUAGUUUUUGUCUAUUCCCUCACCUUUUUCAUGUUUAGUUCUCAAAUAAGUUUAUCCAUAACACAUAUUUAGUUGCUUAAUGAAUGGUGAAUGUGUUGUAUGGAAGGUUGGUUUAAUUAUGUUUCAAUUGUCAGUUAUUGUUUAUUUUUGCUCAAUUUUAACUACAUUUUGAAACUAGGCUUUCACCAUGUGUUAGAGAUAGGUUUGGGUAUUAAAUUUUUUUGUUUAUUAGUUGCUAGGAAAGUUUGGCUUAUGUUUCUUUUGCCAAAUUUUGUUCAUUUUUCCUCCAUUUUAGCCACAUUUUGGAUAUAGGGUUUCACCAUGUGUUAGAGAUAAAGUAGUCUAACUACUUUUAUUGCAAGAGAUAAAGUAGUCUAACUACAUUUUUGUUAGCGACAAACCGAAGCAUGUAAUUUUACACGACUUUCUAGAGAGGAGAGGGAGAGGGAGAGAGAGCUAUUGUUGCCAAUGCGCUCGGAGCAGGUGCAGCACUUACCGUCCGUGCGGAUGCAGCACUUUGCACAUCCAGAAUGCCCGUUCUUGCACUGAUUUUACACAGAGCAGAGCAUCAUGCUGGAGUCUACCGAUCAAUAUGUAUUGUAUAUAUACAUGCAUGGUAAUCUGACUUGCCAUGAAAACUUCGGACUGGAAGGGUAGGCAGCAGAUGUCGCACUCCAACGCGUCCUUCUCCAUGGAUAGUGUCACAGUCGCCUCUUCCUCAUCCUCCAACCCCGCCUCUUCCUCAUCCUCCAUAGAGAAGCCGUGGUCUUUUUCCCGGUCAUGGUUUAUCACCUAGAACGCAAGGUAAAAUAAAAGCAGGGAGGACUAUUCGACUAAUAUAUACAUAUCAGGCAGUAAGAAACAAGCAUCAUCUUCAAAGAACAUGUUGUGAAAGAACUUGGAAAGAUGUUUACCAGAUCUGAUACUUGUGAAAGAACUUCACACCAAUGGUGAUGAGAUACGCGAAGCCAGGAGACGACGUAGUAUUUAAACACUGCAAGAGGAGAGAGAGAUAGAGGAGAGAGAGAGAGAGAGAGGAGAGAGAGAGGAGAGAGAGAGAGGAUAGAGAGAGAGGAGAGAGAGAGAGAGGGUUUCACAUUUUAGCCACAUUUUUGGAUAUAGGGUUUCACCAUGUGUUUUAUGUUACUUUUUUACAGGUGAUGAUGGAGAGGAUAUCCUGGAUGUAUAACUUAUCAAGGCUAGAUCCAUCAUACAUAUCUGAGGUCCAUAAGUUUAUUGUUGUCGCUAAGAACCAUGCUUGGAGAACAAAGACAAAGCACAUAUAUUGUCCAUGCAUGGACUGCAAAAAUGCUGUUGUAUUUGAUGACACAGAACAAAUCAUAUCUCAUCUGGUAUGCCGAGGAUUUGUGAAGGAUUACAUAAUUUGGACAAAGCAUGGAGAGGGUAGCUCUUCGCCUUAUACAGCUGGAAACCCUGCGAACAUCGACGACAGCUUUCAGUUCGUUCACGAGACACAACAACCUCUUCCACAGAGCAAACAUGUAGUGCCAAAUGUUACUGAUCAUGGUUACGCCGGAGGAAAUGAACGUGAAAUAACUCAUGUUCUGCCAAAUGUUAUGGACGAGGAAGAUGCAGAGUUGUUAGAGGCAAUGUUGCGUCGUCAUACAAAUCCAUCGAUGUUCUUCAUGAAAGGUAUGGAGUCCCUGAAGAAGGCAGCAGAAGAGCCUUUGUACGACGAGUCUAAGGGCUGUACCAAAGAGUUCACGACGCUCUGGUCUGUGUUAAAGUUGUUGAUGUUAAAAGCUAGAUCUGGUCUGUCUGAUGCUGGCUUCGAUGUGUUCUUGAGUAUUGUCGCAGACAUGCUUCCAAAGGAGAACAAAGUGCCUGCUAACACGUACUAUGCAAAGAAACUAAUCAGUCCACUCACUAUGGGCGUGGAGAAGAUCCACGCGUGUAGAAAUCAUUGUAUCCUUUAUCGAGGUGAUGAUUAUAAAGACUUGGAGAGCUGCCCAAACUGUGGUGCAAGUAGGUACAAGACGAAUAAAGACUAUCGAGAGGAAGAGUGUGUUGCAUCUGUGUCUAAAGGGAAGAAGCGAAAGAAAGCCAAAAAAAGACUUCAAAAUCCACGAGCAAAGAAAAAGAAGAAGUAGACUAUUAUGCGCUCAAAAAGAUUCCUGCUUUGGUGAUGUGGUACCUCCCCGUCGUCGAUCGAUUGAGGUGUUUGUUUGCUAACCCUGAGGAUGCCAAACUUAUGAGCUGGCAUGCUUCUAAUGAGCACAAAAACGAUGGGAAGCUUCGACAUCCAGCCGAUGGGAAGCAGUGGCAAGAUUUCAAUGAGAACCACCGAGACUUUGCCGAUGAACCAAGAAAUGUUAGGUUCGCACUGAGUACUGAUGGAAUGAAUCCAUUUGCUGAAAGGAGCAGCAAGCAUAGCACAUGGCCAGUGAUCCUCACCAUAUACAACCUUCCUUCAUGGUUGAUGCAGAAACGAAAGUACAUUUUGCUAACCAUGCUUAUUUCUGGACCUACACAACCUGGAGUUGAUAUGGAUGUAUUUUUAGAGCCCUUAAUGGAGGAUAUGAAAUAUUGUGGGUAACGGGUGUUCAAAUGUUGGAUGAGUAUCGUAAAGAUUCAUUCACGCUGAGAGCAAUUAUUUUUGUUACGAUCAACGAUUACCCUGCACUCUUCACAUUAUCAGGCCAGUUUAAGGGAAAGGUUGGUUGCACAGUAUGCAUUGAUGAAACUGCUUACGUGUCCCUUACUGCAUCUAAGAAGAUAGUAUACAUGAGGCACAGACACUUUUUAUUGGAAGGACACAGGUACCACAUGCGAAAGAUGGAUAAGUACUUUGACAAUAAUGGUGAACUACAUUCUACUGCUCCAUCGGGUAACAAUAAAGGUCAUAGAGUUUUUGAAAUAGUCAAGAAUAUCAAGUUUGUUUUCGGGAAGAAGACAAAAGACGGAAAAACAAGGAAAGAUGUCAAACCAGCCCCGGGGGCUAUAUUCAAGAAAAAGUCUAUUUUCUUUGAGUACUUGCCUUACUGGAAAGAGUUAGAUGUGCGACAUGCGAUCGAUGGUAUGCACGUUCAGAAGAACGUGUUUGAAAGCAUAAUUGGCACCUUGCUAGACAUAAAGGGCAAAACAAAAGAAGGGCUCAAUUCACGCAUGGACUUGGUAAAUUUAGGCAUAAAAAAGGAACUACAUGCUGUUCUUCAAGAAAAUGGGAAGUAUCAUCUCCCAGCAGCAAGCUACAAUCUCAAUGUAGAUGAGAAACAUGCGAUGUGUGUUUGGCUUAAGAAUUUGAAAGUCCCAUCCGGAUUCUGCUCUAGCAUACGAAGUAUUGUGUCAAUGAAAGACCUGAUAGUCACCAACUACAACUCACAUGAUUGUCAUGUCAUGCUGACUACAUUCCUACCUAUUGCCAUCAGGGCUAUAAAUCCUUUGUUUUUAAAGAUGGCAAUCACACGAUUGUGCUACUUUUUCAACAGAAUUUCACAAAAGGUAAUUGACCGUGAUGAGUUGGCAUCUCUUCAGGAAUUUGCAGUGGAGACAAUAGCACAGUUUGAGAUGUGUUUCCCUCCAUCGUUCUUUGAUAUUAUGGUGCACCUUGUGGUGCACUUGGUGCCACAAAUAGAGGCAUUGGGUCCUAUGUACUUGCAUGAAAUGUGGACGUACGAGCGUUUCAUGUCAAUACUGAAUGGCUAUGUAUCAACCCGUGCUCGUCCCGAGGCAUCCAUGAUAGAGGGGUACUGUACCGAAGAGGCCAUUGAGUCCGGAGGCCCAUUCUGCAAUAGUAUCCUAAAAGAUCAGGUUGCAAUAGGUCUGCCUCCGUCACGACACGAGGGUAGAUUGUAUGGAAGCGGGAGGAUGGGACGGAAAUCUUUCAUCCCACCAGAUUACAAUACAGUACUUGAGGCACAGCACAGCAUUCUACAUCAGCUAGCGAUAAUAGAGCCAUUUAUCCAACAACACAUCAAUGAGCUUCACGAGCAAAAUCCUGGGCAUACGGCUGAUUGGGUAAUGAAGCAACAUAAGCAGCGGUUCAACACAUGGCUAAUGGUGAAGGACAUUCCACGUCGAGAAACAAUAGAAGAAAAAACCAUCAAGGGGUUGGCAUCUGGACCUUCACGCCAGGUCACAACAUGGCAAACCUAUGACAUUAGUGGAUUCACAUUUUGUACAAAGUCCAAGGACAAAAAGAGCAUGUCACAAAACAGUGGUGUUCGAUGCGAGGCCAUAGAUGAUGAAACUGGUGAGAUUAUUACAUAUUUUGGCUUUAUUGAGGACAUAUGGGAAAUAGACUAUGGUACAUUUCAGAUCUCGGUUUUCUGAUGUCAAUGGGUUGAAGACAAACAUGUCACGGUAGACAACUAUGGUGUCAGAGUUCUUGAUCUAAGUAAGGUAGGUUACAAAGAUGACCCAUGGAUCCUUGCUAAUCGUGUUGCACAGGUCUUCUAUGCUGAACAGAUCAUUUCUAACAAUGAGAAGAAAAGCACCGAUAAACCGAAGCAUGUAGUUUUUCCUGGAAAACAACAAGCUAUAGGAGUUGAUGGUGUAUCUGAUUUAGAGGAUUUUAACCAGUUCAACGACAUGUCUCUUUUCAUAGACCAUCCAACCAAGAUAAGGAACGUUGAGCGAAGCAUCCCACGCAAUUCGAUGCCCUGGGUACGCCACGACGGACAAGGCAGAACAAUAGCUCCCUAGAUUAUAUAGUUGUCAUGUAAUUGAUUAUUGUUAGGACAUGUCAUGUAAUUGAUUAUUGUUAGCGACAAACCGAAGCAUGUAAUUUUACACGACUUUCUAGAGAGGAGAGGGAGAGGGAGAGAGAGAGCUAUUGUUGCCAAUGCGCUCGGAGCAGGUCCAGCACUUACCGUCCGUGUGGAUGCAGCACUUUGCACAUCCAGAAUGCCCGUUCUUGCACUGAUUUUACACAGAGCAGAACAUUAUGCUGGAGCCUACCGAUCAAUAUGUACUGUAUAUAUACAUGCAUGGUAAUCUGACUUGCCAUGAAAACUUCGGACUGGAAGGGUAGGCAGCAGACGUCGCACUCCAGCGCGUCCUUCUCCACGGAUAGUGUCACAGUCGCCUCUUCCUCAUCCUCCAACCCCGCCUCUUCCUCAUCCUCCACCACCACCUUGGCUUUCUUUGGAGUUGAAAGGGAAUUAGGCUUACACCUAGUUCCUAAAUAAUUUUGGUGGUUGAAUUGCCCAAUACAAAUAAUUGGACUAACUAGUUUGUUCUAGUGUAUAAGUUAUACAGGUGCUAAAGGUUCACUCUUAGCCAAUAAAAAGACCAAGAGUUGGGUUCAACAAAAGAGCAAAGGGCCAACCGAAGGCACCUCUGGUCUGGCACACCGGACUGUCCGGUGUGCCACCGGACAUGUCCGGUGCACCAGAGGACUCCAACUCGAACUCGCCACCUUCGGGAAUUUCCAGAGGCACUCGCGCUAUAAUUCACCGGACUGUCCGGUGUACACCGGACAGUGUCCGGUGCGCCAAGGAAGAGCGGCCUCAGGAACUCGCCAGCUUCGGGAAUCUCCAACGGCUAGUCCGCUAUAAUUCACCGGACAUGUCCGGUGUGCACCGGACUGUCCGGUGCAACUCCGGAGCAACGGAUACUUCGCGCCAACGGUCACCUGCAGGCACAUUCAAUGCGCGCCAGAAGCGCGCAGAAGUCAGGCACGCCCAUACUGGCGCACCGGACAUUGAACAGUACAUGUCCGGUGUGCACCGGACAUCCAGGCAGGCCCACAAGUCAGAAGCUCCAACGGUCGGAAUCCAACGGAACUGGUGACGUGGCUGGGGCACCGGACAUGUCCGGUGUGCACCGGACUGUCCGGUGCGCCAUCGAACAGACAGCCUCCACCAACGGUCAAGUUGGUGGUUGGGGCUAUAAAUACCCCAACCACCCCACCAUUCAUUGCAUCCAAGUUUUCCAGCUUCCAACCACUAUACAAGAGCUAGCAUUCAUUGCAAAGCACACCAAAAGAGAUCAAAUCCUCUCCCAACUCCACACAAAGCUUUAGUGACUAGAGAGAGUGAUUUGUAGUGUUCAUUUGAGCUCUUGCGCUUGGAUCGCUUCUUUUCUUUGGCAUUCUUUCUUGUGAUCAAACACUCACUUGUAAUUGAGGCAAGAGACACCAAUCGUGUGGUGGUCCUUGCGGGAAGUUUGAUUCCCAAGUGAUUUGAGAAGAGAAGCUCACUCGGUCCGAGGGACCGUUUGAGAGAGGGAAGGGUUGAAAGAGACCCGGCCUUUGUGGCCUCCUCAACGGGGAGUAGGUUUGAGAGAACCGAACCUCGGUAAAACAAAUCCACGUGUCUCACUUUAUUAUUCGCUUUCGAUUUGUUUUGCGCCCUCUCUCGCGGACUCUAUUAUAUUUCUAACGCUAACCCGGCUUGUAGUUGUGAUUAUUUUGAGAAUUUCAGUUUCGCCCUAUUCACCCCCCCUCUAGGCGACUUUCAGGAGUGCCACCGUCAGAGGAAGAGGCAAAAUAAAAGCAGGGAGGACUAUUCGACUAAUAUAUACAUAUCAGACAGUAAGAAACAAGAAUCUUCAAAGAACAUGUUGUGAAAGAACUUGGAAAGAUUUUUACCAGAUCCGAUACUUGUGAAGGAACUUCACACCAAUGGUGAUGAGAGACGCGAAGCCAAGAGACGGCGUAGUAUUUAAACAACAUGUUCUUCGAAGAGAGAGGAGAGAGAGAGGGAAGAGAUAGAGGAGAGAGAGGAGAGAGAGGAGAGAUAGAGGAUAGAGAGAGAGAGGGAAGAGAGAGGAGGGAGAGGGGAGAGAGAGGAGCUAGGGAGAGGAGAGAGAGAGGAGAGAGAGAGGAGAGAGAGAGAGGGAAGAGAUAGAGGAGAGAGAGGAGAGAUAGAGGAGAGAGAGGAGAGAUAGAGGAGAGAGAGAGGGAAGAGAGAGGAGGGAGAGGGGAGAGAGAGAGAGGAGAGAGAGAGAGGGGAGAGAGAGAGGAGGGAGAGAGAGAAGUAAUAUAUAAAUAUAUAUAUUAUGUAUACUAAAUAUAUAUAUAUAUAAUUAAUAUGUAUAAAAAUAUAUAUAAUUAAUGUAUGAAUAUACAAUAAAAAAUAAUAUACUAAAAACAUUACUACUGGCGGUUCACAACGAAAACCGCCAGUAUAAAUUAUUUCUACUAGCGGUUGUCGAUGAAAACCGCCAGUAGAAAUGGCCUCCACAGUCUGUGGAUGGCAUUUCUACUGGCGGUUCUCUAUGACAACCGCCAGUAGAAAUGAUUUCUACUGGCGGUUUUCGUUGUCAACCGCCAGUAGAAAUAUCUCCUAUAUAAAGGAGCGCGCGCGGGGCCGAAAAAUUUCGCUAAGUCUCUGGCGCCCUGUCUUUCCAUCUUCCCGCUGUCAGGCUGCCAAAAAUUCGCCCGACGAUUUUCUCCGCCGUGCGCCGUCGUCGUUCACGCCGUCGUCCCCGCGCCGUAGGUAAGUUCUUCUCUCUCUCUAUCCCUUUCUUCGACUAUGAUCGCUCGGGCAUGCGCGCCGCCGCCGCCGUGCAAGCGCCGCCGUGCACGCGCCGCGGCUAAACCCUAAGCCUAGGAAGAGUGAGAGAGUGAGAGGGAAGAGAGAGGAGGAAGAGGGAAGAGAGGGAGACCCUGCACGCGUCUCUGCAGAGAGAGAGAGGGAGAGAAGAUAGAGGAGGGAGAGGGAAGAGAGAGGAGAGGACCUCUCCCUCCUCUCUCUUCUCUCUCUCUCCCUCCCUCCACUCUCUUUCCUCUCUCUUCCCUUUCCCUCUCUCUUCGGAGAGAGAGGGAAAGGGAAGAGAGAGGAAAGAGAGUGGAGGGAGGGAGAGAGAGAGAAGAGAGAGGAGGGAGAGGGAGUGUAUAUAUAGGAAAGAGAGUGGAGGGAGAGAGAGGGAAAGGGAAGAGAGAGGAAAGAGAGUGGAGGGAGGGAGAGAGAGAAGAGAGAGGAGGGAGAGGGAGUGUAUAUAUAGGAAAGAGAGUGGAGGGGGAGAGAGAGGAGAGAGGGGGAAAAGGGAAGAGAGAGGAAAGAGAGGGAGAGGGAGGGAGGGAAGAGAGAGGAAAGGGAGGGAGAUUAGAGAGAGAGAGAGAGAGGAGAGAGCAACGGAGAGAACAACAUAUUCUAUUGUAUUUUAUUGUAAACAACGUAUUCCAUUAUAAACAACAUAUUCCAUUGUAGUACUAUUAGCUAGUGAAAUUAGAAGACGACGUACGACACACUUGCGUUGUUUCGAUUAAGAGCAACUCAUCAGAACCCCACUUGACCAGAGCGAGUUCUCAUCACCUCUCUCCCUCUCUCUCUCUAUACGUUCUAUACGACUCUCCAUCUCCCUCUCUCCCUCUCUAUACGUCCUAUACGACUCCUCCUCUCUCCCUCUCUCUCUCUAUACGUUCUAUACGACUCCUCCUCUCUCUCUCUCUAUGCGUUCUAUACGACUAUACGUCCUAUACGACUCCUCUCUCCCUCUCUCCCUCUCUAUACGUUCUAUACGACUCUCCAUCUCCCUCUCUCCCUCUCUCCCUCUCUCCCUCUCUCUCUCUCUCUAUAUGUUCUAUACGACUCUCCAUCUCCCUCUCUCCCUCUCUAUACGUCCUAUACGACUCCUCCUCGAUAAGGGUUAGGGUAUUUGUUAAUACAAAUUUAAUUAUUGCUUAUGUUAAUAUGUAGCUCAAUGAGUUCUCCAACCAAGGACCAAGGAUUAGGGCCCGACCACAUGGACAAGAGUGUUGCUCAAGAAGAAUCCAGCAGUGAAGGAUAUGAAACGCCUAGCGACCCUUUUCCUACCACUAGGAUAGAUAAAGCCGCUGCGCGUGAGUUGCAACGUGACCCUACUUAUGAUCCACAAGAACAUGAGGUAAAUUACACAUCCUUAAUUUCGUGUGUGUACCUAAUUAAUUAGCUGAUUUCACAAUGUCUAUUACACAUGCAUGAUUUCUUGUGCAUUUUAUUACAUGAAUAUGAGGUCUUGUCUGAAUUUCGUGCGAUGCUCGAAAAAGCUGCGGCACGAUACCAAGACGCACCGGAACCGAUCCAAGGCGCACCGGAACCGACCCAAGGCGCACCGGAAUCGACCGAGACAACCACCGAGAGGUCAAGGAAAAGGAAGCAGAGCGAUCGGAACAGAGGUGACAGGGGGCUAAACAAGUUUCCUGAUAAGAUAUAUAAAAUCACAGACGUGAGCCCGAAUGGUCAGCCCCUAGCUCCAGAAGAGGCACUGCCUAAGUUUCGGAAUGCACUUGGGUUCUUAGUUAGAGAUAAUCUUGACAUCACAAUCCGACAGUGGAGAGAUGUAUCAGAUGAUGUCAAGAAUCAAAUGUGGAAUAAGCUAGUAACGAGGUUCGUUUUGCCUGGGGGUUCAGAAGAACUCGUGAAAAAAUACACGAUGAAGCAGUUUGCAAUAAAUUUCCGAAACUGGAGGUCUGAGAUGAAUACAAAGUUUGCAAAGAAAGGCCUAGACCCGACGAAAAAAUAUAAAAUCUCAGCAGGUUAGUGGGCAGUAUUUCUAGAGCAGAGGAGCAGCCCUGAUUUCAUAUCGCUAAGUGAGGCAAAUUCAGAACUGUCUAAGAAGAACAAAUACCGCCACCACCUUGGCACAGGUGGUUACAAGCGUCAGGUUCCUAAAUGGAGACAAGAAGACGCCGAGAAGAAGGCUGCAGGGUUGCCGACGCUGUCCGAGCAACUCGGUGAAAGGACAGCUAAUUGGAUCCGUGCUAGAAAACCAAGGGAAACUGAGUCUGGUGUAUCUUUUGAUGAUCCCGCUGUCGAAGAAGCGGCAAAAAACAUAUAUGCAAUUGCAGCUAAGCAGAGCGAAGGAACAUUUAAGCCGCAAAGGGAGAAAGACAUUCUAACGGCUGGUCUCGGUAACCCUGAGCAUCCUGGUCGUGUAGGAGGAAUAUCAUCUAAGGAAGGAUGGAAGGAAGGAUUCGGACCAUAAUGGGAAGGUCUGUACAAGAAACGUGAUCGAUACAAGGAAGAGAUGGCAAAUUAUUUUAAGGAGGAGGCCAAGAAAGAGUUUAAAGGCCUGAUGUCUGAAAUGCUAUCGAAUCCUCCUCCAGAAUUGAUGCAGCAAUUGGCGAUGGCGAGUGCGAUGUCUGUUCAACAGAUGACCACUCCACAGAUGCAAAUAAUUCCAGCAGCUCAAACACCGGCUGCCACCGAGGGUACGACCAUCCCAAGCUCUGUCGCGUCAACGGGAAAUAAGGUCCGCUAUCCAGUUGAUGACAUCACAAGGCCUGUGGCAUGCACACUAGUUAUAAGAUAUGGUAUUAACAAUCAGCGUACAAGGAAAGUAGCCACAGGCCUUGCGAUCCCAGGACGCAAGUUCCAUGGAAACGACAUUCCAGAAGAAUAUUGCAGGGUAGAAGUGACAACAGUCGUCCAAGGAUACGAGGAUGACAUGCUAGACAUCCCUGGGCCCGAAGGUAUCGAGACACUUGGACAAGCUAUCAAGAAUUUUAUCCUUUGGCCUCGAAGGGAUGUCGAAUUGGUUGAUUGGUCGAUUUCGUCGCAGGCCCAACCGUCUCCGCCUUCUCAAAUUGUUGUUCCUAUUGUACAUCCAUCAUCACCUCCUCAAACCUCACAUGCUGCUCCUCAUCCUCUUUCUGACCCUCCUUCUCCUCAUCCUCAUGGUGGCCCACCGUCUCCGCCACAUACAUCGCCCUUCAGGGAUCCACCUUCUCCACAGCCAUCUCCACGACCAUCAAAGAAAUCUAAAGUUUCUAUACCAAAAGUAGUGUCCCCGUAUGAUAAGAAAAAGAAGAGUAAAUCCACUGCUGGCACUGUUCGUUUUUUGAAAGGGAUUGGACGGAGCCUCAUGUCAGACAAUGUUGAUUUGGCCGAUCUCGAGGAGUCCGCAAAAAAGGCUGAGGCAAUGGCCGCAAAGAUAAAGAAGCCAACUAAGGCAGAUUAUAAAAACGUGCCUAAAAAAUAUGUGUCGGGCAGACCACUACUCACUUUUGAGAAACUAAGGAAGGUCCCGGCUAAUAUUAAAAGGUUGCAUGAUUGGUACAUGCGGGCAUCUUCAGUUGACAUCGACACCAUCAGUGUUAAUAUACCAGCCCAUGCUUUUAUUGGUUCAAAUCAAAAAGCCGUUGUUACAUUCGAGGACAUGUGGUUAAUGAUGAACCUUCAGAGACUCGACGUGCAACUUGUAACCAUAUUUGCAUUGUAAGUGUCACUCAUACUCCACAUAUAUGUGUUAUUAUUAGUGAGUUGUAUAAAUUUUCAAUAUCUGACAUGCACGUGUGCGUUGCAGAAUGCAACAUGAUCAGCAGGAGAUCCUUUAUAGUACCAAUCCCAAUGCUAGUGCCAGUAAAAGGGUUGGGUAUCUCAACCCAAUAAAGAUAUGCGAGGAUAACCACACUUUUAAAAUCGGAAAAGGCAACGAAGCAUUACAGGGGCUAACAGACGAAGAAAUUGAGGUGCGUAUCCAGGAUCUGAAGAAGGAUUUUGAAGCAAGAUACGCCACCUACAUAGGACACGCAAUGCUUCAAUUUCAAGACAGGGAAUCCAUAGUGGCCCCGUACAACUUUAAGUAAGUGUGAUUUUGCAUAAAUAAAAUUAAUAAUUUCAAUACACAUGUAUCACAAGUUUGAUUCGUACAGGGACCACUGGAUAUGCUUCUUCAUUUAUCCUAAGGUUGGAAAGGUGCUGGUGCUCGACUCCUUGCACACCGAGCCUUCGGCCUAUUCAAAAUUCCUCAGCAUCUUAGAGCUGUAAGCCUUUUCUAUGCAUGCAUACUUAUAUCGAUGAGAAUUGUAGAAUAACAUGGUGAUUCUAUUUGAGAUCACAGGGCAUUUAGGUUUUAUAAGCUACAAGGUGGAAAGUACGACACGUCCAAAAAAGGCGUGCCACUAGACAUUCAUUAUAACUGGCCGGUAAGUAUGUGAAUUUAUGAAUACAUAUCAUACAUGUACGUACAUAAGACAAUGUUGCAACUAAAUAACCAAUCUCCCGUUAUGUAGUGCCACAAGCAACCACCCGGAUCGGUCCUAUGUGGGUUCUACGUGUGCGAGUUCAUGAGAAUGAACGGACGAUACAUCACGAACCCUCACAAGGUAUUAUUAGUAAUAGUCACGUAUGUAUUUAUGUCAUUAAAGAUGCAAAUGUGUUAUUAUUGAGUAUAAAUAGAUGAUGUUUAUAAACUUCCUUUACAGCAAUUUCAACAAGGAAGCCCGGAGAACUUGACUGAAGGUGCAUUGUAUGGCAUAGUUGAGGACCUGUGCACAUUCAUAUUGAAAGAGGUCAUUCCCGCAGAAGGGAAAUAUCACGAUGCUUCUGGAACAUUAGCUUUGCCAGAGUUUAGAAUACUAACAGAAAUUAGUAGACUAUCUCUUAGCCGAGAUAGUUAUUAGAGCUUAAGUGAAAACUUUGAUGUAUAUAAUGUGUGAUGCAUACAUGGUUGUAAACAAGACUUUGAUGUAUAUAUAUGUAUGAUAGAAUUUAAUUCCAUGUUGCUUUUAAUAUCAAUAUUACAUGUUUAUCAAUAUCAAUAUAUAUAUAUAUAUAUUAAUAUCAAUACUACAUGUUUAUCAAUACUACAUGUAUAUAUAUAUUUUGUGUAUGUAAAUAUAUAUAAAUUUCAGUACUGAUUGAAAAUUUUAAAAAAGGCGGGAAAACUUUCCACUGGCGGUUUUCUUUAUAAAACCGCCAGUGAAAAUAGCAUUUCCACUGGCGGUUGCUUAAGAAAACCGCCAGUGAAAAUAGCAUUUCCACUGGCGGUUGCUUAAGAAAACCGCCAGUGAAAAUAGCAUUUCCACUGGCGGUUCUAGAAUAACCGCCAGUGGAAAUGACGAUUUCCACUGCCCCCUAGCACUGGCGGCACUGAAAAGCGCCAGUGAAAACGUCUCUAGAACCGCCACUAUAGAGGCUGUGUGUACUAGUGAUACCACAUGAUUAUAUAACUUGAUAGUUAAACAAAUAGUAUCUAGAGAAGGAUUUUCUUUUAGCUAAUAUAUACUUUAUUAUUGAUAAUAGUGUGUAUGAUGUGGGUAGUACCCACCCAUACCUGUACCCAAAUACCCAACGGGUAGAGAUUCUUAUCCACUAACAUACCCGUCAGUAGAGAAAUUAUUCCAUAUAUGUCUUCAUAUGGGGUAAAACCCGUCGGGUUUUGGGGUUUCGGAUACCCAUUGCCAUCUGUAGGCGUGGUGCACAUCACAAUUUAUCGACAAAUGUGUUCUUAUUGAUAUAGCAGAAGAAAUACUAAGGGCAUGUUUGGUUCCUUUAGUCUAGGGACUAAAGUUUAGUCACUUUUGAUUGUAUGGACUAAAAGUAUAUUCAGGCUUGUUUGGUUCAAAUCCAAGGACUAAAGUUUAGUUAGAAGACUAAAGUUUAAUCCAUACCUUGUAUGGUUUUAGGGACUAAAAGUAUUCAAACACAUUAAAUGAAUCAUAAUAUGACCAUAAUACCCCUUAGCAUUCUCUUGACAUUAGUACAACUAAAAUAAAGAAGGGGCAAAAAGUGAAAUUUAUAUGCUUUAGUUCAUUUUAGUCACCCCUUGAGGAACUAUAGACUAAAACAGUUUAGUCCAUGUUUUAGUCUCACCGUUUGUCAAUUUAGUGACUAAAAGAUACUAAAAUGGAGUGACUAAUCGUUAGUCCCUCAAACCAAACGGGUCCUAAAUAAAUCAUAAGAAAACCAAAAUAUCUCUUAGCAUUCUCAUGUGAUUACUGUAUCUAAAAUAAAUGAUGGGAAAAAAGUGAAAUUAAUAUGGUUUAGUUCAUUUUAGUCAAUCCUUGAGAACUAGAGAAUAAAGCAAUUUAGUCUAUGUUUUAGUACCACUAUUUGGUAAUUUAGAGACUAAAUAAGACUAAGGACCCGUUUGGUUCCUUUAAUCCAGAGACUAAAUUUUAGUUAGAAGACUAAAGUUUAGUCGCUAUCCUGUUUGAUUUUAGGGACUAUAAAUAUUCAAAACACAUUAAAUGAAUCAUAAUAGGACCAAAAUAUCCCUUAGCAUUCUCGCGUCAUUAGUGUAAUUGAAAUAAAGAAGGGACAAAAAGUAAAAUUUAUAUAAUUUAGUCCUUUUUAAUCACCCCUUAAAAGACUAGAGACUAAAAUAAAUUUAGUCUCUGUUUUAAUCCUAAUAUUUAGUAAUUUAGUAACUAAAUGAGACUAAAAUAGAGAUACUAGAUCUAACCAUGCAACGAAAAGAAACUAAAAACAGCCACGGACUUUGAAAACAAACUAACCCUAUCGAUAUCAUCUUUUUCUACUACUUGUGUUGGUGUGAGCCAGCCGGCCAGGGCCAGCCCUGUGCCUGCAACCCCUCCCGAACCAAGUCGCUGUCGCGGUACACGUCACGGAAGCUCUCCGAGUCCUCGCCCUCGCCCUCGCCCUCGCCCCUUUGUCUUGCUAUGGACGACCACCGGAGCUCCUUCUUCCAUCUCUCCAGCCGCGGGAACCCGCAGUGCUUCUCCCCGAACUCGUCGCAGUAGUCAUAGUCGUCGAAGAUGUCAUGCGCCAGGUGCUUGGGCACGCCGGCCACCAUCAUCUCCCUGGCUGGGUGGUGGUACCCCUCGGCUGCGCGCAUCAUCUCCUCCGACGACGGCAGCGCCCUCCGCCCCGACAGCACCUCCGCCACCCACCUCGCCUGCGUCUCGUAGAACCGUGGCACCACCACCCUCUUGGGCACGCCCACGAAGGACAGCGACGGCGCCAGCGCCGGCGGGAACGUGUGCUCGUACAGCGGGCCGACGCGGCUGCCGUCGUCGACGGUGACCAGGCCUCCCGUGUCCAGGAACGGGAACGAGUAGCCGUACCCAGUGCAGUAGACGAUGGAGUCGGCGACGACGCGCGAGCCGUCGGCGAACGUUACCUGCCCAUCCUCGCACAAGCGCUCGAUCUGCGAAGCACGCACGAAGCAGUCAACAAAGGCACGACGCUCGUGGACCAGAUUUCUCGACGAAGCAGAAAGCUGGGUUUAAUUUCCGUUGUUGUUGUAGCUAGUUUUGCCUGCGGGUGGAGGUGUAGGUUGUGGUGCCUGGACGCAGCUUUCCUCAUGCCGGGGGACACGGCGACGCCGUCGUCCACGGACUUGACGCUGACGUGCACGUCUCUCGCCACCGCGCGGAGCUCCAGCGCGAUGUCCACGCCGCUCGCGUGGCAUCCCACGACCACCACCGCUUCGUCUUGGAAGGAGUCCGGGACCCGGUACGAGUGGGAGUGCAGCUGCCUCCUGCUCCACUUGUCCAUGCCUAGACUAGCCAGCAGCAGCAGCAGCUCAGUUGACAAAGAAUCAGAUCUCAGUUACUGCACUUCUCGGCGACAUGUACGUAACGAUCGUUCAGAACCCACCGUUGAUCACGGGGAGCCUUGGCUGGGUGAACUGGCCGACGGCGACGACGACGGCGUCGAACGUCGUCUCCUCCGUGGUGACCGCCUCGCCGUCGCAGUCACCGUGUCUCGACGAGCACCUCACCGUCCACCGCGUCACGCUGCCGUCGCCGUGGCCGCGCGGCGCCGACGGGGCGACGUGCAGGACCUUGGUGUUGAGCCUGACGGCGUCCAUGAGCCCGAACGCGUCGCAGAAGCGCCUGAUGUACCUCAGGAACUCGGCGUGCCCCGGGUACCGCCGGGCGUCGCCGCCGGCACCGUCGUCGUCGUUGCCCGCGGGGUAGACGAAAGGGUAGUCGGAGAAGCCCAUGCUCUCCCUCGGCGUGUUGAGCCGGAGAGAGGCGUAGACGCUGCUGUGCGCGCCGGCCACGCCGAGGGGGUCGCUGGCGUCGGUCCGCGGGUCGUACAGCCACUGCCCGCCUACGCCGCCGCUCUGCUCCAUGACCGUCACGUCGUGGCCCUCCCGGCGCAACUCGCGGGCGGAGACCAGCCCCGAGACGCCGGCGCCCACUACGCAGACCUUCUUGGACGACCACGCCAUCUCGCCUCGAUCGCUACCGAGCCGAUGGUCCUGCAGAGGAGGCACGGAUGGCCGUCUCUAUUUUGAUCCCACUCACUUGGAGUCCUCAACUGCUCCUAGUAUUGUAUGAUUCAUGGAGCAGGCCAGUAAAAGGUAGCAAUUCAGUCCAACGAUGGAAUCAUAAGUUGGGUGCUCUUCGUAGGGCUCUUCGGGGGUGGGCAAGCCACACCAACGGGGUUUACAAAAGGAAGAAAAAGAGUCUGCAGUUAACAAUAAAUGAUCUAGACAUAGCCGCGGAAGUUAGAAACCUGACAGAGCUUGAAAGGGAACAACUAGCCCAAGCUCGAGAUGAUCUAGCUCGCCUCUUGAGAGAGGAGGAGAUCAAAUAUUUUCAGCGAGCUAAGGUGAAAGACAUCCUUCUAGGGGAUAAUAACACUAGAUACUUUCAGUUGAUUGCCAAUGGCAAACAUAGAAAGAAAAAAAUUAUUUCCUUGGAUCAUGACGACAGAAAGAUUGAGGGUCAGGCUAAUUUAAAAGGUUACAUAACUAACUUUUAUAAAGAACUUUUUGGGGAGCCUGAGGAGAGCCUUUUGACCUUAGAUGAUGAAGGGGUUGCUGAUAUAACACAAGUUUCAGAUCUUGAAAAUGCUCUUUUAACCUCUCAGUUUACUGAGAAGGAAAUCAAGGAUGCUUUAUUUCAGAUGGAGCACAACAAGGCACCUGGGCCUGAUGGCUUCCCUGCAGAAUUUUACCAGAAAUUUUGGGAUAUCAUCAAAGAUGACUUUUUACUCAUGUUUCAAGAGUUGCAUUCUGGAUACCUGCCAUUAUUUAGCCUGAACUUUGGUGUUAUCACUCUAAUACCUAAAGUUCAAGAGGCCAAUGUAAUCCAGAAAUAUAGGCCUAUCUGCCUUCUAAAUGUGAGUUUUAAGAUUUUUACCAAAGUCGCCACAAAUAGACUGAGCUUAGUUGCAGACAAAGUCGUGAGUCCAACGCAAACUGCUUUCUUAAGGGGACGAAACAUCCUAGAAGGAGUUGUCGUACUACACGAAACGAUUCAUGAGAUACAUAGAAAGAAAAUGAGUGGGGUUAUUUUAAAGAUAGAUUUUGAGAAAGCUUAUGACAAGGUAAAAUGGCCUUUUUUGCUCCAAGCCCUCCGGAUGAAAGGAUUCUCGCCGAAGUGGAUCUCUUGGGUAAAGUCCUUUAUUUCGGGUGGCAGCGUUGCAGUCAAUGUGAAUGACGAGGUGGGGAAAUUCUUUCAAACAAGAAAAGGGCUUCGACAAGGGGAUCCUUUGUCACCUAUCCUGUUUAAUAUUGUUGCUGACAUGCUUUCAGUCUUAGUCAAGAGAGCUAAGGAUCAUGGGCAAAUCGGUGGGGUAGUGCCUCACUUAAUUGAUGGAGGUCUAUCUAUCCUACAAUACGCAGAUGACACGGUCCUAUUUUUGGACAAUGACUUAGAAAAGGCUCGCAACAUGAAGCUAUUGCUUUGUGCUUUCGAGCAAAUUUCAGGGCUCAAAAUAAAUUUUUACAAAAGUGAGUUGCUUUGCUUUGGGGAUGCUCAAGAAUCCUUAGAAUCGUAUUUGGAACUGUUUGGCUGCAAACAGGGGGAUCUACCUUUAAAAUAUUUAGGCAUACCUAUCCAUUACAAGAAACUUCAAAACUCCGAUUGGAGAGAGAUUGAAGAACGAGUGGAGAAGAGGCUUGCUAGUUGGAAGGGAAAACUUAUUUCAAUUGGAGGUAGAUUGACAUUGAUUAAUUCAGUGCUUAGUAGCCUUCCAAUGUAUAUGAUGUCCUUCUUUGCGAUCCCCAAAGGCGUUCUUAAAAAACUAGAUUAUUUUCGCUCUCGUUUCUACUGGCAAGGUGACGAGAAUAAAAGAAAAUAUCGCCUUGUUAGAUGGAGUAUCCUAUGCCAGCCUAAAGAUCAAGGAGGCCUUGGGAUCCAUGAUUUGAGUAUUAAGAAUAUAGCCUUACUAAGUAAGUGGUUAUUUAAACUAUUAACAUCAGAUGGGACUUGGCAACAAAUUUUAAGAAAUAAGUAUUUGGGCUCAAAACCACUAGUCCAAGCCGAAUGGAAAUUAGGAGACUCACAUUUUUGGUCCUGUUUGAUGAAGGUGAAGCAAGACUUUCUUCGCUUUGGAACCUUCAAAAUUAACAAUGGGUCGCAGGUGAGGUUCUGGGAAGAUACGUGGCUUGGAGCAAAAGCUUUAAAAGACCAAUACCCUGGGUUAUAUAGUAUAACUAGAAAUAAGCACAUAACCAUUGCCGCGGUUCUAACGACAUCACAACCUAACAUCUCCUGGAGACGAACUUUGUUUGGGUCUAGAUUGGUGGCGUGGAAUGAAUUGCUUUCACGCAUCGCCAACAUUCACCUAACUCAGGAUAAGGACGCCUUCUGCUGGACCUUGUCCCAGUCAGGACAAUUCUCAGUAAAGUCUCACUAUCAAGCAUUGAUUAGGCGUGAGAUACCAAAUGUAAAUAAAAGAUUGUGGAAACUAAAAGCCCCACUUAAGAUCAAAAUUUUUUUGUGGUAUCUCAGGAGGGGAGUGAUACUAACCAAGGAUAAUUUAGCAAGGCGCAACUGGCUGGGAAACAAAACAUGUUGCUUCUGUCAUGAAAUAGAGACAAUUCAACACCUUUUUUUUGAUUGUCGGUUUGCCCGUAUGGUUUGGGCUUUAAUCCACAUGGCCUUCGGGAUAUCUAAACCAUAUAGUGUCUCUAAUUUGUUUGUUUCCUGGCUUAGUGGCUUUGAUAGAAAUAUUAGAAAUAUCAUCUUUCUUGGCGCAGCUACAACCUGUUGGUCUCUUUGGUUACACAGGAAUGAUAUCAUAUUUGAAAAGAAAAACAAUUCUUCUCCCUUGCAGGUCAUUUAUUCCAUUGCACAUUGGCUUCGAACAUGGGCUAUUUUACAGAAGGCGGAGUUGCGACCUAUGGUUGUGGAGGCUACGCAGUACUUGGUGCAGGUGGCCAUGGACUAUUUUUCCCGGGCUCAUGGGUGGCGGUCUAGUCUGCGGAUUGAUUACCAUUAGAGUGUGUGGAUUAUCAUCUUUAUUUUGUCUUUAAGCUGUGUGCUUCUUAAGCAGAGGCUGGAAGAAAUUUCAAGAAUUGUAUCCCCUCGAUGUAAUGUGCUUGAAAUUAUUAAUAAAAUCUUCCUUUAUCAAAAAAAAUGUCGACCUCUGCAAGCUCCUCGUCAAUAGAGAUUAGUUUCGUCAAUCAAUAUGUAUAAGCUCGUCAAUAUGUAACAUCACCAAGAUGUACAUGUACUUAUAUCCAGUGACUCAGCGACGUUUAUAGGAGGAUUCCAAAAGCACACAAAUAACAAAGAUCUAAUCCUAACAUAUAAUGAAGUGUCGGAGAGGGAAUUCUCCGGCCGGGUGUGGCGGAGUGCACCCGCCCUAAAUGCUAAGAUGAGGAGAGGGCUUAAGCGUUUUGCCUGUCUUGCUAAACGAUCAUCAAACACAUGAACACGCGAGGAUUUAGAGUGGUUCGGGCCGCCGGAGCGUAAUACCCUACUUCACUGUGUGUUGGAUUGUUAAGGAAGCUUGUGCUGUGUGUAAGCCUGAAUGACUUGAGUCUCUCUCGUUGCAUGUCUCCCCUUUUAUAGUUCAAGGGGGCAUGUACAAGGGUCCUGAGCCCCGACAUGUGGGCCAGGGACAAAUUGGAAGGAAAGAACUACUGCUUGCUACUCCAGGGUGAUCUGUGAAUGUCAUAAUAUCCGUAGUGCAUACAGUAUUGAUAUCUCGCGGCAUCGUCCUCGGUAACGCGCGAGUCAUGAUGGAUACGGCGCAUGCGGCAGCACAGACGUAUCGUCAGCCAACGGGAAUAGACAGGCACGCCGCCUGUAGGAUAGCCUGGCCACCGCCUACCAGCUGAGUAGACAGGACACAUUAAAUGCUGAAGGGGCACAUCAGUUGCCAGCGGAAUAGAUAGGCGGCGUGUCUUCUCUGCAAUAAAUGCAGAGGCAGCGCGACCCAGAGGCCUUACGUCAGGCUCCGCCCGCAGGCUUACGUCACGGGUGGUAGACCAUGUGGCAGCAUCGGGUUCCCGUCUGGGUGGUGAGCAAUAGCGUUAUACGGACAGGUCCGCACCAGGCUGGGCCUGGACACGUGUCAGCACCGGACCACUGCCUGAGCAAGGGUCGGGUACCCUCUGCCUCAGAGUCCCGGGGCCCAGCUGUGGGUAAUCUGGUCCCUACGCAGAGGGGUCAGGGACCCGUCCCGGAGGCCUGUGUUGCACUCGCGGGGGUCCUGGACCUUGCUCCGGGGGUCCGUUCUUCAUGUACAGGGAUCCGACAUUUUCCGCAUGGGGGUCCGGACCCACUGUUGGCUUCAUGGAGUACGUCUCCUUUCCUGGCCAUGUGGCGCCCCCGGGGCCGCCCAUGUGGCGGGGCAGAGAGUUGUUUGCCACGCGACUAGAGGUAGUUACGCGGGUAUAGCGUCUUCAUUCUGUAGCAAGGGGUACCCCUGUUUCAGGGUACCGACAGUGGCCCCUAGGCCCACCUCAGGGGAGGAUGCGAGCCUGCAGGUGGGGCCAAGACCUGAUUGGCGUGCUAUUUUCGGGCACUUGCCGACGUAGCCACCGCCAACCCACCUUUGGUCACAUGGCCUGCCACGUCUUCCCCCGCAGCUGGUAGGUACGUGGCCCCCACGCCUGGCGAUUUCGUUGGGCCGCGAGCGGGACGUCUUACUACCGCCGCCUAAGUUAUAAAUAUCCUUCAGCGGCCUCUAGGCGACGUGCGGUCGUGCGUGACGGUUUUACCGCCGGGGGGACGGUCCGUCUCCUACGCACUCGGAGGCCGGUUCCCCAGGUGCGUGACAUGUGGACCCAGGCCCCUAUGUCGGGGGCUGGGUCCCUGCGAGCACUAGGUGCACGUUGGACGGGAUUGGGGCACGAGCGGGAGAGCCUUCUUUGAAAAGGGGACUCAUCUCGCGGCCAGUAGUUACGCUUUCGCACUUUCUUCAACUGCUGCGUCCUUUCUCCUCCGAGUCCUCUGUGCCCCUCUUGCACUCGCAUUUUUCUGCUUUUCGCCAUUGUAGUAGCCAUGGCUUCACUGGUUCAUCCCGAGCGUUACCAGACCAAGAGGAGGCUCGACACGGUGCACCGCCUGCUCGGAUGGAGUGCGCCGUCGCACGCCUCGAGGAUCCGGGCCGGCGCUACCCCCCUUGGUGAUCUUGCCGCCGGGGAGUUUGUGCUUUUGUCUCCUACCUUUCGUGUGGGCUGGCGUUGCCGAUCUCCCCCUUCUUCAUGUUACUAUUGGAGGAUCUCGGUCUCCAGCUCCAGCACCUCACACCCCACUCCAUCCUUCAGGCGGCCAUCUUCGCUCAUUUGUGCGAGAUAUUCGUGGAGGUGGUGUCGUGUACCUCUCUCUUCCGCCAUUUUUUCGUGCUGGUGAAGUCCGGGAAGGCCAAGGACCAUCUCGGAGCGUAUUACUUCCAGACGAGGGUGGAUUCGGUCGGCCUAUAUCCCCUCAGUCAGCGGAGCGAGGUGGGAAAACUGGCGGGCCGAAUGGGUGAUUGCCAGUACCAAGGUCAGCGACCGUCUCGUACUAUCGAUCGACGGGCCGAAGCUCGACAAGAAGCAAUGGAGGGCUAAGCCGCCGUUGACACCGGAGUUUGAGCCCGUGUUGGGCAGGAUCGAGUCCCUGACGACCGAUGGUCUGACGUCGAUGCACGUGGUCGGCGAUUUCUUGAAACACCGGAUCGCGCCACUGCAGGCGAGGGCACGCCUGAGCUGCUGGUUCACUGGCUCCAAUGACCUCGGCGGGGUCCAUCGUGGGCCAGGCACUGACCUGUCCUAGGAGGAACUGGAGCUCCUGGUGAAGGGAAUUACUGGUGAGUCCUUCGUUACCGAGUCCUUAAUUCCUCCCGAGGGCAUUCAUCCGCUUUGAGACGACCAAGGGUUGAGGGCAGCGAUCUUGGAUUGGCUGCCGACCCUCGAUAAGAGUGGCGUAGCGGUUUGCCAGACCGGCGGUCGGGAUCCCCAUCGCGGGAUUCAGAUCCCCAGUGAACUGGCUAGAGGUUCUCGGCCCGCCGACGCCGGCUCUGAGAGCACCUAGAGGGGGGGGGGGGUGAAUAGGUGAUCCUGUAAAAACUUCAAACUUAAGCCACAAAAACUUGUUAAGUGUUAGCACGAUUAUUGCCAAGUGGCUAAGGUGAAGUCUCAACAAUCUCAACAAAACACAGUACCACAAGAGAAUCAAGCACAGAGUGACACAGUGGUUUUAUCCCGUGGUUCGGCCAAGACCAACGCUUGCCUACUCCACGUUGUGGCGUCCCAACGGACGAGGGUUGCAAUCAACCCCUCUCAAGCGGUCCAAAGACCCACUUGAAUACCACGGUGUUUUGUUUUCCUUUCACUAUCCCGUUUGCAAGGAAUCUCCACAAAUUGGAGUCUCUUGCCCUUACAAGUAUAUGAUCACAAAUGAAACACAGAGUAAGGGAGGGAAGCAACACACACAAAUCCACAGCAAAAGCGCACACACACGGCCAAGAAUCGAGCUCACAAGACUAUCUCAGAGUUCUCACUUAGAACAGAGCUCGAAUCACUUAGAAACACAAACGAAUGCGCAGAGACUUAGUGUGGAUGAUCAAGAAUGCUCAAAGGUUGCUUGUGUGUCUCCUCCAUGCGCCUAGGGGCUCCUUUUAUAGCCCCAAGGCAGCUAGGAGCCGUUGAGAGCAAAUCUGGAAGGCCAUCUUUGCCUUCUGUCUCGUGGCGCACCGGACAGUCCGGUGCACACCGGACACUGUCCGGUGCCCGAUUUGUUUCCAUAGAAAGCGAAGCCGACCGUUGCCGACCGUUGCAGAUCUGGCGCACCGGACAGUCCGGUGCACACCGGACAGUCCGGUGCUUCCUUCCGACCGUUGGCUCGGCCACGUGUCGCGCGCCGAUCGCGCGGCCGACCGUUGGCCCGGCCGACCGUUGGCUCACCGGACAGUCCGGUGCACACCGGACAGUCCAGUGAAUUUUAGCCGAAGUCGCCGGAGAAAAACCCGAGAGCGGCCUCUUCGGCCGAGGCAGCCUGGCGCACCGGACACUGUCCGGUGCACCACCGGACAGUCCGGUGCCCCAGACCGAAACAGCCUCUUGGCUGUACACAGCCAAGUCUUCUCUUCUCUUCUUCUUUCUGUUUCUAACACUUAGACAAAUAUAUUAGUACACAAAACCAAUGUACUAAGGCUUAGAAACAUACCUUUACUUGUGAUUUGCAACUUGUCCAUCCAUGGGCAUAUUUUCACAUUUUGGCACCUGUGUUUGCACUUAAUCACCAAAAUACUUAGAAAUGGCCCAAGGGCACAUUUCCCUUUCAAUCUCCCCCUUUUUGGUGAUUUAUGCCAACACAACAUAAAGCAACUAGAACAAGUGCAAAAUCACUUCAAAUAAAAACUCAAAUUGGUUUUGAUUCAAUUUUGGCAUAUAUGGAUCAUCCUUUGCCACCACUUGGUUUGUUUUUGCAAAUCAAACUCAAAUCUCUAUCUAUAAGUCAAACACACAUAUUGAAGCAUAAAGAGAGUCAUUUCAAAAGAAUUUGACCACGGAUUUCAAAAACUCCCCCUUUUUCCCAUAAUCAACACUUCUCCCCACAAGAAGCCAACUUUUGAAAAUAGAGACAAUAAGAGACAAUAAAAGCUUUUGACAAAACAAAAACUCUAUUCUACUAUUUUCAAAAUCUCUCAAGUGGUAGCUGAUCCAUUUAUCGCUUUGGCCUUUAUUUUCUCCCCCUUUGGCAUCAAGCACCAAAACGGGAUCAAUCUUGGCCUUUUAACCUCAUUGCCUCACCAAAGUCUUCAAUUAAGAGCAAAUGGCAAUAAGAUUUCAUGAGAUGAACUUGGAAUUAGUUACCCUCUCAUCGGAGUGCAGUGGAAGUCUUUCAUGGUCCAAGUCCACCUUUUCCCUUUCAAUCCUCCUUCGAGACUAAAUUAUCAAACUCAAGCACAUGGUUAGUCUUAAAGGGUCAAGUUGUAACACAUCUCCCCCUACACAUGUGCAUCACUUUGCAACGGACUUGUGAGGUCCAGGGAGUGUUUGUACAACUUGAGCACCAUAAUAAGCAACAUAAUGCAAAAAGGAACAUGAUCAAAAGCAUAACUACAUGUAUGCUACAAUUCAAUCCAGGUUCCGCGAAUCUAAGACAUUUAGCUCACUACGCAACCUGCAAAAGGUCUUCUCAUCUAGAGGCUUAGUGAAGAUAUCGGCUAGCUGGUUCUCGGUGCUAACGUGAAACACUUCGAUAUCUCCCUUUUGCUGGUGGUCUCUCAAAAAGUGAUGCCGGAUGUCUAUGUGCUUUGUGCGGCUGUGUUCAACAGGAUUCUCCGCCAUGCGGAUAGCACUCUCAUUGUCACAUAGGAGUGGGACUUUGCUCAGAUUGUAGCCAAAGUCCCUGAGGGUUUGCCUCAUCCAAAGUAGUUGCGCGCAACACUGUCCUGCGGCAACAUACUCGGCCUCAGCGGUGGAUAGGGCAACGGAAGUUUGUUUCUUAGAGUUCCAUGACACCAGGGACUUUCCUAAGAAUUGGCACGUCCCCGAUGUACUCUUCCUAUCGACCUUACAUCCAGCAUAGUCGGAGUCUGAGUAUCCAACUAAGUCAAAGGUAGACCCCUUUGGAUACCAGAGCCCGAAGCAAGGCGUAGCAACCAAAUAUCUAAGAAUUCGCUUCACCGCCACUAAGUGACACUCCUUAGGAUCGGAUUGAAAUCUAGCACACAUGCAUACGCUAAGCAUAAUAUCCGGUCUACUAGCACAUAAGUAAAGCAAAGAACCUAUCAUUGACCGGUAUGCUUUUUGAUCAACGGACUUACCUCCUUUGUUGAGGUCGGUGUGUCCGUCGGUCCCCAUCGGAGUCUUUGCGGGCUUGGCGUCCUUCAUCCCAAACCGCUUUAGCAGAUCUUGUGUGUACUUCGUUUGGGAGAUGAAGGUGCCGUCCUUGAGUUGCUUCACUUGGAACCCAAGGAAGUAGUUCAACUCGCCCAUCAUCGACAUCUCGAAUUUCUGCGUCAUCACCCUGCUAAACUCUUCACAAGACUUUUGGUUAGUAGAACCAAAUAUUAUGUCAUCGACAUAAAUUUGGCACACAAACAAAUCACCAUUACAAGUCUUAGUAAAAAGAGUUGGAUCGGCUUUCCCAACCUUGAAAGCAUUAGCAAUUAAGAAAUCUCUAAGGCAUUCAUACCAUGCUCUUGGGGCUUGCUUAAGUCCAUAGAGCGCCUUAGAGAGCUUACACACAUGGUCGGGGUACCGUUCAUCCUCGAAGCCAGGGGGUUGCUCCACGUACACCUCCUCCUUGAUUGGCCCGUUGAGGAAAGCGCUCUUCACAUCCAUUUGGAACAACCUGAAAGAAUGGUGAGCGGCAUAUGCUAGCAAGAUUCGAAUUGACUCUAGCCUAGCCACAGGAGCAAAGGUCUCCUCAAAAUCCAAACCUGCGACUUGGGCAUAACCUUUUGCCACAAGUCGAGCCUUGUUUCUCGUCACCACCCCGUGCUCGUCCUGUUUGUUGCGGAACACCCACUUGGUUCCCACAACAUUUUGCUUCGGACGAGGCACCAGUGUCCAAACUUCAUUGCGCUUGAAGUUGUUUAACUCCUCUUGCAUGGCCAACACCCAGUCUGGAUCUAGCAAGGCCUCUUCUACCCUGAAAGGCUCAAUAGAAGAGACAAAGGAGUAAUGCUCACAAAAAUUAACUAAUCGAGAUCGAGUAGUUACUCCCUUGCUAAUGUCACCCAGAAUUUGGUCGACGGGAUGAUCCCUUUGAAUCAUCGCUCGAACUUGGGUUGGAGGUGCCGGUUGCACUUCUUCCUCCAUUACGUUAUCAUCUUGUGCUCCCCCUUGAUCACACGCCUCCUUAUGAUGAACCUGUUCAUCGUCUUGAGUCGGGGGAUGCACCAUAAUUGAGGAAGAGGGUUGAUCUUGCUCAUCUUGUUCCUGUGGCCGCACUUCUCCAAUCGCCAUGGUUCGUAUAGCGGCCGUCGGGACAUCUUCUUCAUCUACAUCAUCACAAUCAACAACAUGCUCUCUUGGAGAGCCAUUAGUCUCAUCAAAUACAACGUCGCUAGAGGCUUCAACCAAACCCGAUGAUUUGUUGAAGACUCUAUACGCCUUUGUAUUUGAGUCAUAACCUAACAAAAACCCUUCUACAGCUUUGGGAGCAAACUUAGAAUUUCUACCCUUCUUCACUAGAAUGUAGCAUUUACUCCCAAAUACACGAAAGUACGAUACAUUGGGUUUGUUACCGGUUAGUAGCUCAUACGACGUCUUCUUGAGGAGGCGAUGAAGGUAGACCCUGUUGAUGGCGUGGCACGCUGUGUUCACGGCUUCCGUCCAAAAGCACUCGGGGGUCUUGAACUCUCCUAGCAUCGUCCUCGCCAUGUCGAUGAGCGUCCUGUUCUUCCUCUCUACCACACCAUUUUGCUGUGGUGUGUAGGGAGCGGAGAACUCGUGCUUGAUCCCUUCCUCUUCAAGGAACUCCUCCACUUGAAGGUUCUUGAACUCGGACCCGUUGUCGCUUCUUAUCUUUUUCACUUUGAGCUCAAACUCAUUUUGAGCUCUCCUGAGGAAGCGUUUGAGGGUCCCUUGGGUUUCAGACUUAUCCUGCAAAAAGAACACCCAAGUGAAGCGGGAAAAAUCAUCAACAAUAACUAAACCAUACUUACUUCCCCCUAUGCUUAGAUAGGCGACGGGUCCGAAGAGGUCCAUAUGCAGUAGCUCCAGGGGUCUUGACGUGGUCAUCACAUUCUUGCUGUGAUGCGCUCCUCCCACCUGUUUACCUGCCUGACAAGCUGCACAAGGUCUAUCUUUUUCGAAAUGUACAUUUGUUAGACCUAUCACAUGUUCUCCCUUUAGAAGCUUGUGGAGGUUCUUCAUCCCCACAUGUGCUAAGCGGCGAUGCCAUAGCCAGCCCAUGCAAGUCUUAGCCAUUAAGCAUGCAUCUAGACCGGCCUCUUCUUUUGCAAAAUCAACUAAAUAAAGUUUGCCGUCUAGUACACCCUUAAAAGCUAGUGAACCAUCACAUCUUCUAAAGACAGACACAUCUACAUUUGUAAAUAAACAAUUAUAUCCCAUUUGACAUAAUUGACUGACAGAUAGCAAAUUAUAUCCAAGACUCUCCACUAAGAAUACAUUUGAUAUAGAAUGCUCAUUUGAAAUUGCAAUUUUACCUAGCCCUUUUACCUUGCCUUGAUUCCCAUCACCGAAUAUAAUUGAAUCUUGGGAAUCCUUAUUUUUGACGUAGGAGGUGAACAUCUUCUUCUCCCCCGUCAUAUGGUUUGUGCAUCCGCUGUCAAUAAUCCAGCUUGAACCCCCGGAUGCAUAAACCUGCAAGGCAAAUUUAGGCUUGGGUCUUAGGUACCCAACUCAUGUUGGGUCCUGCAAGGUUAGCACAAAUGUCCUUAGGGACCCAAAUGCAAGUCCUGUCUCCCUUGCAUUUUGCCCCUAACUUCCUAGCAACAAUUUUCUUAUCCUUUCUACAAAUAGCAAAGGAAGCAUUUAAAGCAUAAUAAAUUGUGGAAGGUUCAUUCACUACUUUCCUAGGAGCAUGAAUAGCAUUCUUUCUAGACACAUGAUGAAUAGUAUUUCUCUUAGGAACAACAUUUCUCCUAGUAACAUUUCUAUCAUACACAUAAGAGGAACUAGGAGCAAACAUGGCAUGAGAGUCAAAAUCAUCAAAAGCAUUAUAACUCCUAUAAGCAUUUCUAGUUUGUCUCCUAUCAUAAUACAUAAAAGCAUGGUUCUUUUGCACAUUACUAGCCAUAGGGGCCUUCCCUUUCUCCUUGGCGGGAAUGGGAGCCUUAUGGCUUGUUAAGUCCUUAGCUUCUCUCUUGAAGCCAAGUCCAUCCUUAAUUGAGGGGUGUCUACCAAUUGUAUAGGCAUCCCUUGCAAAUUUUAGCUUAUCGAAAUCAUUCUUGCUAGUCUUAAGUUGGGCAUUAAGACUAGCCACUUCCUUAUUUAAUUUGGAAAUUAAAACUAGAUGUUCACUACAGGCAUCAACAUCGAAAUCCUUACACCUAGUGCAAAUCUUAACAUGUUCUACACAAGAAUUAGAUUUAUUUGCUACUUCUAACUUAGCAUUUAAAUCAUUGUUAACACCUUGUAAAGUAGAAAUGGUUUCAUGACAAGUAGAUAGUUCAUAAGAAAGCAUUUCAUUUCUUUUUACUUCUAAAGCAUAUGAUUUUUGUGCCUCUACAAAUUUAUCAUGUUCAUCAUACAAUAAAUCCUCCUGCUUUUCUAAAAGCCUAUCCUUUUCAUUCAAUGCAUCAAUCAAUUCAUUGAUUUUAUCUAUCUUAGAUCUAUCUAAGCCCUUGAACAAGCAUGAAUAAUCUAUGUCAUCAUCACUAGACUCACUAUCACUAGAAGAAGCAUAAGUGGAGUCUUGAGUACUCACCUUCUUCUCCCUUGCCAUAAGACAUGUGAGACGCUCGUUGGGGAAGAGAGCCGAUUUGUUGAAGGCAGUGGCGGCGAGUCCUUCAUUGUCGGAGUCGGACGAGGAGCAAUCCGAGUCCCACUCCUUGCCUAGAUGCGCCUCGCCCUUUGCCUUCUUGUAAUGCUUCUUCUUUUCCCUCUUGUUUCCCUUUUCCUGGUCACUAUCAUUAUCGGGACAGUUAGCAAUAAAAUGACCAAGCUUACCGCAUUUGAAGCAUGAUCGCUUCCCCUUGGUCUUAGUCUUGCUCGGCUGUCCAUUGCGACCCUUUAGCACCGUCUUGAAUCUCUUGAUAAUGAGGGCCAUUUCUUCUUCAUUAAGACCGGCCGCCUCAAUUUGCGCCACCUUGCUGGGUAGCGCCUCCUUGUUCCCUGUGGCUUUGAGAGCAAAAGGUUGCGGCUCGUUGAUCGGUCCGUUCAACGCGUCAUCGACGUACCUUGCCUCCUUGAUCAUCAUCCGCCCGCUCACGAAUUUUCCAAGUACUUCUUCGGGCGUCAUCAUCGUGUACCUGGGGUUCUCACGAAUAUUGUUCACGAGAUGAGGAUCAAGAACGGUAAAGGACCUGAGCAUUAGUCGGACGACGUCGUGGUCCGUCCAUCGCGUGCUUCCGUAGCUCCUUAUUUUGUUGACAAGGGUCUUGAGCCGGUUGUAUGUUUGAGUUGGCUCCUCGCCCCUUAUCAUCGCGAACCGUCCAAGCUCGCCCUCCACCAACUCCAUUUUGGUGAGCAAGGUAGCGUCAUUUCCCUCAUGAGAGAUCUUGAGGGUAUCCCAGAUUUGCUUGGCGUUAUCCAAGCCACUCACUUUAUUAUAUUCAUCCCUGCACAAUGAGGCUAGAAGAACAGUAGUAGCUUGUGCAUUCUUAUGGAUUUGCUCAUUAAUGAAUAUAGGACUAUCCGAACUAUUAAAGUGCAUUCCACUAUCUACAAUCUCCCAUAUGCUAGGAUGGAGAGAGAAUAGGUGACUACGCAUUUUGUGGCUCCAAAAUCCGUAGUCCUCCCCAUCAAAGUGUGGGGGCUUGCCGAGUGGAAUGGAAAGCAAAUGUGAAUUUGAACUAUGCGGAAUACGAGAGUAGUCAAAAGAAAAGUUAGAAUUAACCGGUUUCCUUUGUUUGUCGUAGUCGUCGUCCUUUUGGGAAGAAGAGGACUCAUCGCUGUCGUAGUAGACGAUCUCCUUGAUGCGUCUUGUCUUCUUCUUCUUCCCAUCUCUUCGCUUGUGGCCCGAGCCCGAGUCAUUGGACUUGUCAUCCCUUGGCUCGUUGACGAAGGACUCCUUCUCCUUGUCGUUGAUCACAAUUCCCUUCCCCUUAGGAUCCAUCUCUUCGGGCGGUUAGUCCCUUUCUUGAAGAGAACGCCUCUGAUACCAAUUGAGAGCACCUAGAGGGGGGGGGUGAAUAGGUGAUCCUGUAAAAACUUCAAACUUAAGCCACAAAAACUUGUUAAGUGUUAGCACGAUUAUUGCCAAGUGGCUAAGGUGAAGUCUCAACAAUCUCAACAAAACACAGUACCACAAGAGAAUCAAGCACAGAGUGACACAGUGGUUUUAUCCCGUGGUUCGGCCAAGACCAACGCUUGCCUACUCCACGUUGUGGCGUCCCAACGGACGAGGGUUGCAAUCAACCCCUCUCAAGCGGUCCAAAGACCCACUUGAAUACCACGGUGUUUUGUUUUCCUUUCACUAUCCCGUUUGCAAGGAAUCUCCACAAAUUGGAGUCUCUUGCCCUUACAAGUAUAUGAUCACAAAUGAAACACAGAGUAAGGGAGGGAAGCAACACACACAAAUCCACAGCAAAAGCGCACACACACGGCCAAGAAUCGAGCUCACAAGACUAUCUCAGAGUUCUCACUUAGAACAGAGCUCGAAUCACUUAGAAACACAAACGAAUGCGCAGAGACUUAGUGUGGAUGAUCAAGAAUGCUCAAAGGUUGCUUGUGUGUCUCCUCCAUGCGCCUAGGGGCUCCUUUUAUAGCCCCAAGGCAGCUAGGAGCCGUUGAGAGCAAAUCUGGAAGGCCAUCUUUGCCUUCUGUCUCGUGGCGCACCGGACAGUCCGGUGCACACCGGACACUGUCCGGUGCCCGAUUUGUUUCCAUAGAAAGCGAAGCCGACCGUUGCCGACCGUUGCAGAUCUGGCGCACCGGACAGUCCGGUGCACACCGGACAGUCCGGUGCUUCCUUCCGACCGUUGGCUCGGCCACGUGUCGCGCGCCGAUCGCGCGGCCGACCGUUGGCCCGGCCGACCGUUGGCUCACCGGACAGUCCGGUGCACACCGGACAGUCCGGUGAAUUUUAGCCGAAGUCGCCGGAGAAAAACCCGAGAGCGGCCUCUUCGGCCGAGGCAGCCUGGCGCACCGGACACUGUCCGGUGCACCACCGGACAGUCCGGUGCCCCAGACCGAAACAGCCUCUUGGCUGUACACAGCCAAGUCUUCUCUUCUCUUCUUCUUUCUGUUUCUAACACUUAGACAAAUAUAUUAGUACACAAAACCAAUGUACUAAGGCUUAGAAACAUACCUUUACUUGUGAUUUGCAACUUGUCCAUCCAUGGGCAUAUUUUCACAUUUUGGCACCUGUGUUUGCACUUAAUCACCAAAAUACUUAGAAAUGGCCCAAGGGCACAUUUCCCUUUCAGGCUCCAGAGCUCCCCUAGUGGCCCUCAGCCCCUCGGGCAAGGGGAAGGGGGCUACGAGCAGUUCUUCUGCCCUGGGUGAUUCUGAGAGGUCGGAGGGAGAGAGGCGGCACCGACUGUGUCGCGCUGACGGGUCUUUCGUUGGGGAUCCGCCCCUUGAUUCGGACCUCCCCCAGAAGCGCUAGAGGACAGCUAGCGGGGGGCGGGGCCAAGGAGGCCGGCUCCUCGGCCCAGGGCUCGCAGAGGCGCGUCAGUCCUCCACCUGCGCCACCAAUCCCGCCGCCACCAUCAUCCGACUCGCCGCCGCCGUAGGGGCAGCAGCAUCAACGGCAGCAACAGCAGGAGGGGCAGCGGAUGUCUCGCUUCCAAGGUUGCUGGAAGGUCCAGGACCCCAAGUAAGUGUACCCCUUUCCAUUUUCCUCCAUUAGUCUAGUCAUCAUGUUGACAUGUAUUAACCCGUCCUUUGCUCAUUAGGGCCUCUUCCUCCUCUAUCUCCAAAGUCGCUCCUACUGGUGAGUCCGGCUCCCAGCAACAGGUGUCUGCUGGCCUCGAUGCCGGCGACCUGCCUCCGCCUGCCACUGUUGGGGCGGCGCCAUCGGGCCCCCAGGUUCUGACUGCUGCAGGCGCGGCAGGGUCGUCGGGCCCCCAGGAUCCAGCUGCCACUGCCGAGGCAGUGCCGUCGGGCCCCUAGGCCUCAGCUGAGGAUCUGAUAGCAGCAGCAUUGCCAACGGCUACUGCAGGCCCAACGGCGGCGGCGAUGUCGCCGAAUAUGCUGUCGGCGUCGGCGGAAGCCACGGGGGGCGCGUCCGAUUCCAUCCCACUGCCCGUUCUGGAGGAGCCGGAGGUUAUUCUUGGGCGGCGGCUCCAGACCGGCGCCGGGCCAGAAACGAUGCCACCUCCCCUCCCUCAGGUGUUGUCCCAUGCUCACCAGGCUCUCCGGGAGACCGAGGCGGCGAUCCUGUGGGAGUGGGAGGCGCUCGAGACUAAGCGCCAGCACCUUGGCGAUUGGCACUCCCAGCUGGAGGAACGUACCCAGGCCGCGUCCUACCAAUUUGCUUUGGAGUGGUCCGAGCUUGAGCAUGGGCGCGAGGACCUCAAGGAGGACCUGAAGAGGGUGCUCGAGCGGGAGCGAGAGGUGACUUAGGAGGAGAAGAGGCUGGUCAGGAAGAAAGAGCACUUGGACCAGCAGGAGGCAGCCAUCACGGAAUUCCAUGAGAAGUUGAAAGCCUAUAAUGCGAUGCUGGAGGAGCAGAGGGAUGAGCAUACCGCGACUGAAGCGGCGCUGCAAAAGUGCAGCAGGAGCUUGAUGAUAGGGCUAGCAACAUCUCUCUCGCCGAGGAAAACCUCAAGGCGAAGGAUGCUUCCCUAGAGGAGCGGGCGACGGAUCUCACCCGAUAGGAGAAGGACCUUGCCUAGAGGGAGGAGAUGUGGGAAAGGCGGGAAAAGUUGCUGGCCGAGCAUGAGCUCGAGGCGGAGGAGAAAGAAACAAAUUGGAGGAGAAAGAGUGGACACUAGAGGAGUAGGUCUGCCGGUUCUAGGCAACGCAAGCGCGGGUAGCGCAAACGGCGCAGGCGGCUCCGGGUUCCCAGGCGGUAGAGGCGAUGAAGAAGACGCUAGAAGAUCUUUGGUCAGAGGAUCACAUCGGGGUUCAGCGUAUCGCUGCAUGGGCCGCCGAGGCGAGCUUGGCUCUAGUACCGUUGGGGGUGAGCCCCAUCCCAGUGUUGAAGCAGUCGGUGUCCAUUUUCGACGUGCUCUCGGUGUUGGAUUUCGCUGCUGACCGCCUCCGGCGCCUUGAUCAGAUCCUUGGUGCUCGCCUGGAGGCUGAGGGCAGCAGACUCUGCCGGGCGGUAAUAGAGUACAUUCUGACGUGCUUCCAGAGCCACGACCCGGCCAUCUCCUUGGGGCCGGUGAUUGCCCGUCCGAUGGCCGAUACCGAAGACGCCGCCCGGGGGAGCGUUGAAAGGGAAUUAGGCUUACACCUAGUCCCUAAUUAAUUUUGGUGGUUGAAUUAACCAACACAAAUAAGUGGACUAACUAGUUUGCCCAAGUGUAUAGAUUAUACUGGUGUAAAAGGUUCACACUCAGCCAAUAAAAAGACCAAGUUUUGGAUUCAACAAAGGAGUAAAGGGGCAACCGAAGGCACCCCUGGUCUGGCGCACCGGACUGUCCGGUGUGCCACCGGACAUGUCCGGUGCACCAAGGGGACUCAGACUCAAACUCGCCACCUUCGGGAAUUCCCAGAGGCGACUCGGCUAUAAUUCACCGGACUGUCCGGUGUACACCGGACAGUGUCCGGUGCGCCAAGGGAGGUCGGCCUCAGGAACUCGCCAGCUUCGGGAAACUCCAACGGCUAGUCCGCUAUAAUUCACCGGACUAUCCGGUGUGCACCGGACUGUCCGGUGCGUCUCCGGAGCAACGGCUACCUCCGCGCCAACGGCUCUCUGCGGUGCAAUAAAUGCGCGCGCAGCGCGCGCAGAUGGCAGGCGUGCCCAUACUGGCACACCGGACAAGGAACAGUAGAUGUCCGGUGUGCACCGGACACCCAGGCGGGCCCACAAGUCAGAAGCUCCAACGGUCAGAAUCCAACGGCAGUGAUGACGUGGCAGGGGGCACCGGACUGUCCGGUGUGCACCGGACUGUCCGGUGCGCCAUCGAGCAGUCAGCCUCCCAACGGCCACAUUUGGUGGUUGGGGCUAUAAAUACCCCAACCACCCCACCAUUCAUUGCAUCCAAGUUCUCUACUUCCCAUCUACUACAAGAGCUCUAGCAUUCAAUUCUAGACACACCAAAGAGAUCAAAUCCUCUCCAUAUUCCACACAACGCCCUAGUGAUUAGAGAGAGAGAUUUGCUUGUGUUCUUUCGAGCUCUUGCGCUUGGAUUGCUUCCUUCUUUCUUGAUUCUUUCUUGUGAUCAAACACUCACUUGUAAUUAAGGCAAGAGGCACCAAUUGUGUGGUGGCCCUUGCGGGAAGUUUGAUUCCCAAGUGAUUUGAGAAGAGAAGCUCACUCGGUCCGAGGGACCGAUUGAGAGAGGGAAGGGUUGAAAGAGACCCGGCCUUUGUGGCCUCCUCAAACGGGGAGUAGGUUUGCAAAAACCGAACCUCGGUAAAACAAAUCCGCGUGUCACACUCUUCAUUUAAUUGCGAUUUGUUUUGCUCCCUCUCUCGCGGACUCGUUUAUACUUCUAACGCUAACCCGGCUUGUAGUUGUGUUUAUAUUUGUAAAUUUCAGUUUCGCCCUAUUCACCCCCCUCUAGGCGACUUUCAAUUGGUAUCGGAGCCCGGUGCUUCAUUAGAGCCUAACCGCUCGAAGUGAUGUCGGGAGAUCACGCCAAGAAGGAGAUGGAGACCGGCGAAAAGCCCACUACAAGCCACGGGAGCACUUCAUCGGAAGAGUCCCGCACCAAGAGGAAGGAGAAGAAGAAGGACUCCUCCAAACGGAAGGAGAAAAAGUCUUCCUCUUCUCACCACAAAGAGAAGAAGGAAAAAUCUUCUUCCCACAAGCCGCAUCGGAAAGGCGACAAGCACAAGAGGAUGAGGAAAGUGGUCUACUACGAGACCGACACUUCAUCAACAUCGACCUCCGACUCCGAUGCGCCCUCCGUCACUUCUAAGCGCCAAGAGCGCAAGAAGUAUAGUAAGAUCCCCCUACGCUACCCUCGCAUUUCCAAACAUACACCUUUACUUUCCGUCCCAUUAGGCAAACCACCAACUUUUGAUGGUGAAGAUUACGCUAGGUGGAGCGAUUUAAUGCGAUUUCAUCUAACCUCGCUCCACAAAGGUAUAUGGGAUGUUGUUGAGUUUGGUGCACAGGUACCGUCGGUAGGGGAUGAGAACUAUGAUGAGGAUGAGGUGGCCCAAAUCGAGCACUUCAACUCUCAAGCAACAACAAUACUCCUCGCCUCUCUAAGUAGAGAGGAGUAUAACAAAGUACAAGGGUUGAAGAGCGCCAAGGAGAUUUGGGAUGUGCUCAAAACCGCGCACGAGGGAGACGAGCUCACUAAGAUCACCAAGCGGGAAACGAUCGAGGGGGAGCUCGGUCGGUUCCGGCUUCGCAAAGGGGAGGAGCCACAACACAUGUACAACCGGCUCAAGACCUUGGUGAAUCAAGUGCGCAACCUCGGGAGCGUAAAGUGGGAUGACCACGAGAUGGUUAAGGUUAUUCUAAGAUCUCUUAUUUUCCUUAACCCUACUCAAGUCCAAUUGAUCCGUGGUAAUCCUAGAUAUACUAAAAUGACCCCCGAGGAAGUUAUCGGGAAUUUUGUGAGUUUUGAGUGCAUGAUCGAAGGCUCGAGGAAGAUCAACGAGCUUGAUGAUGCCACCACAUCCGAAGCUCAACCCGUUGCAUUCAAAGCAACGGAGGAGAAGAAGGAGGAGUCUACACCAAGUCGACAACCAAUAGACGCCUCCAAGCUCGACAAUGAGGAAAUGGCGCUCGUCAUCAAGAGCUUCCGCCAAAUCCUCAAGCAAAGGAGGGGGAAGGAUUACAAGUCCCGCUCCAAGAAGGUUUGCUACAAGUGUGGUAAGCCCGGUCAUUUUAUUGCUAAAUGUCCUAUAUCUAGUGACAGUGACCGAGGUGACGACAAGAAGGGGAGGCGAAAGGAGAAGAAGAGGUACUACAAGAAGAAGGGCGGUGAUGCCCAUGUUUGUCGGGAGUGGGACUCCGACGAAAGCUCAAGCGACUCCUCCGACGACGAGGACGCCGCCAACAUCGCCGUUACCAAGGGACUCCUCUUCCCCAACGUCGGCCACAAGUGCCUCAUGGCAAAGGACGGCAAAAAGAAGAAGGUUAAAUCCAACUCCUCCACUAAAUAUGAGUCUUCCAGUGAUGAUAAUGCUAGUGGUGAGGAAGAUAAUUUGCGUACUCUUUUUGCCAACCUUAACAUGGAACAAAAGGAGAAAUUAAAUGAACUAAUUAGUGCCAUCCAUGAGAAGGAUGAUCUCUUGGACUCCCAAGAGGACUUCCUAAUCAAGGAAAAUAAAAAACAUGUUAAGGUUAAAAAUGCUUACGCUCUACAAGUUGAAAAAUGUGAAAAAUUGUCUAGUGAGCUAAGCACUUGCCGUGAGAUGAUUGACAACCUUAGAAAUGAAAAUGCUAGUUUAAAUGCUAAGGUUGAUUCUCAUGUUUGUAAUGUUUCAAUUCCCAAUCCUAGAGAUAAUAAUGAUGAUUUGCUUGCUAGGAUUGAAGAAUUAAACAUGUCUCUUGCUAGCCUUAGAUUAGAGAAUGAAAAUUUGAUUGCUAAGGCUAAAGAUUUUGAUGUUUGCAAAGUUACAAUUGCCGAUCUUAGAGAUAAAAAUGAUAUACUUCGUGCUAAGAUUGUUGAACUUAAUUCUUGCAAACCAUCUACAUCUACCACUGAGCAUGUCACUAUUUGUACUAGAUGUAGAAAUGUUGAUAUUGAUGCUAUUCAUGAUCAUAUGGCUUUAAUUAAACAACAAAAUGAUCAUAUAGCAAAACUAGAUGCUAAAAUUGCCGAGCACAACUUAGAAAAUGAGAAAUUUAAAUUUGCUCGUAGCAUGCUUUAUAAUGGGAGACGCCCUGGCAUUAAGGAUGGCAUCGGCUUCCAAAGGGGAGACAAUGUCAAAAUUAGUGCCCCUCCUAAAAGAUUGUCAAAUUUUGUUAAGGGCAAGGCUCCCAUGCCUCAGGAUAACGAGGGUUACAUUUUAUACCCUGCCGGUUAUCCCGAGGACAAAAUUAGGAAAAUUCAUUCUAGGAAGUCUCACUCUGGUUCCAACCAUGCUUUUAUGUAUAAGAGUGAGACAUCUAGUUCUAGGCAACCAACCCGUGCUAAGUUGCCUAAGAAGAAAAUUCCUAAUGCAUCAAAUGAACAUGCCAUUUCAUUUAAGACUUUUGAUGCAUCUUAUGUUUUGACUAACAAAUCCGGCAAGGUAGUUGCCAAGUUUGUUGGGGGCAAACACAAGGGGUCAAAGACUUGUGUUUGGGUACCCAAAGUUCUUGUUUCUAAUGCCAAAGGACCCAAAACCGUUUGGGUACCUAAAGUCAAGAACUAAAAUUGUUUUGUAGGUUUAUGCAUCCGGGGGCUCAAGUUGGAUACUCGACAGCGGGUGCACAAACCAUAUGACUGGGGAGAAAAGGAUGUUCUCCUCAUAUGAGAAAAACCAAGAUCCCCAACGAGCUAUCACAUUCGGGGAUGGAAAUCAAGGUUUGGUCAAAGGUCUUGGUAAAAUAGCUAUAUCUCCUGACCAUUCUAUUUCCAAUGUUUUUCUUGUAGAUUCUUUAGAUUACAAUUUGCUUUCCGUUUCACAAUUAUGUCAAAUGGGCUACAACUGUCUAUUCACUGAUGUAGGUGUCACUGUCUUUAGAAGAAGUGAUGAUUCAAUAGCAUUUAAGGGAGUGUUAGAGGGUCAGCUAUACUUAGUAGAUUUUGAUAGAGCUGAACUCGACACUUGCUUAAUUGCUAAGACUAACAUGGGUUGGCUCUGGCACCACCGACUAGCCCAUGUUGGAAUGAAGAAUCUUCAUAAGCUUCUAAAGGGAGAACACAUUUUAGGAUUAACAAAUGUUCAUUUUGAGAAAGACAGGAUUUGUAGCGCGUGCCAAGCAGGGAAGCAAGUUGGAGCUCAUCAUCCACACAAGAACAUCAUGACGACCGACAGGUCACUGGAGCUCCUACACAUGGAUCUAUUCGGCCCGAUUGCUUACAUAAGCAUCGGCGGGAGUAAGUACUGUCUAGUUAUUGUGGAUGAUUAUUCUCGCUUCACUUGGGUAUUCUUUUUACAGGAAAAAUCUCAAACCCAAGAGACCUUAAAGGGAUUCUUGAGACGGGCUCAAAAUGAGUUCGGCUUAAGGAUCAAGAAAAUAAGAAGCGACAACGGGACGGAGUUCAAGAACUCACAAAUUGAAGGCUUUCUUGAGGAGGAGGGCAUCAAGCAUGAGUUCUCUUCUCCCUACACCCCUCAACAAAAUGGUGUAGUGGAGAGGAAGAAUCGAACUCUAUUGGACAUGGCAAGAACCAUGCUUGAUGAGUACAAGACACCGGACCGGUUUUGGGCCGAAGCGGUCAACACCGCCUGCUACGCCAUCAACCGGUUAUAUCUUCACCGAAUCCUCAAGAAGACAUCAUAUGAACUCCUAACCGGUAAAAAGCCCAACAUUUCAUACUUUAGAGUUUUUGGUAGCAAAUGCUUUAUUCUUGUUAAAAGAGGUAGAAAAUCUAAAUUUGCUCCUAAAACUGUAGAAGGCUUUUUACUUGGUUAUGACUCAAACACAAGGGCAUAUAGGGUCUUUAACAAGUCCACUGGACUAGUUGAAGUCUCAUGUGACGUUGUGUUUGAUGAAACUAACGGCUCUCAAGUAGAGCAAGUUGAUCUUGAUGAGAUAGGUAAUGAAGAGGCUCCAUGCAUAGCGCUAAGGAACAUGUCCAUUGGGGAUGUGUGUCCUAAGGAAUCCGAAGAGCCUCCAAGUGCACAAGAUCAACCAUCCUCCACCACGCAAGCAUCUCCACCAACUCAAAAUGAGGAUGAGGCUCAAGUUGAUGAAGGGCAAAAUCAAGAAGAUGAGCCACCUCAAGAUAAUGGCAAUGAUCAAGGGGGAGAUGCAAAUGAUCAAGAAAAGGAGGAUGAGGAAGAACCAAGGCCGCCACACCCAAGAGUCCACCAAGCAAUCCAACGAGAUCACCCCGUCGACACCAUCCUCGGCGACAUUCAUAAGGGGGUAACCACUCGAUCUCGUGUUGCACAUUUUUGUAAACAUUACUCUUUUGUUUCCUCUAUUGAGCCACACAGGGUAGAGGAAGCACUUCAAGAUUCGGAUUGGGUGAUGGCGAUGCAAGAGGAGCUCAACAACUUCACUAGGAAUGAGGUAUGGCAUUUAGUUCCACGUCCUAAUCAAAAUGUUGUAGGAACCAAAUGGGUCUUCCGCAACAAGCAAGACGAGCAUGGUGUGGUGACAAGGAACAAAGCUCGACUUGUGGCCAAAGGAUACUCCCAAGUCGAAGGUUUGGAUUUCGGUGAAACCUAUGCACCCGUAGCUAGGCUUGAGUCAAUUCGCAUAUUAUUGGCCUAUGCUACUUACCAUGGCUUUAAGCUUUAUCAAAUGGACGUGAAAAGUGCUUUCCUCAACGGACCAAUCAAGGAAGAGGUCUAUGUUGAGCAACCUCCCGGCUUUGAAGACAGUGAGUAUCCUAAUCAUGUCUAUAAGCUCUCUAAGGCGCUUUAUGGGCUCAAGCAAGCCCCAAGAGCAUGGUAUGAAUGCCUUAGAGAUGUUCUUAUUGCAAAUGGAUUCAAAGUCGGAAAGGCCGAUCCUACACUCUUUUACUAAAACUCUUGAAAAUGACUUAUUUGUAUGCCAAAUUUAUGUUGAUGAUAUUAUAUUUGGGUCUACUAACGAGUCUACAUGUGAAGAGUUUAGUAGGAUCAUGACUCAGAAAUUCGAGAUGCCAAUGAUGGGGGAGUUGAAGUAUUUCUUAGGAUUUCAAGUGAAGCAACUCCAAGAGGGCACCUUCAUUUGUCAAACAAAGUACACUCAAGACAUUCUAACCAAGUUUGGAAUGAAGGAUGCCAAGCCCAUCAAAACACCCAUGGGAACUAAUGGGCAUCUCGACCUCGACACGGGAGGUAAGUCCGUGGAUCAAAAAGUAUACCGGUCGAUGAUUGGUUCAUUGCUUUAUUUGUGUGCAUCUCGACCGGACAUUAUGCUUUCCGUUUGCAUGUGUGCAAGAUUCCAAUCCGACCCUAAGGAAUCCCACCUUACGGCCAUCAAACGAAUCUUGAGAUAUUUGGCUUAUACUCCUAAGUUUGGACUUUGGUACCCUCGGGGAUCCACAUUUGAUUUAAUUGGUUAUUCGGAUGCCGAUUGGGCGGGGUGCAAAAUCAAUAGAAAGAGCACAUCGGAGACUUGCCAGUUCUUGGGAAGAUCCUUGGUGUCUUGGGCUUCAAAGAAGCAAAAUUCGGUCGCUCUUUCCACCGCCGAAGCCGAGUACAUUGCCGCAGGCCAUUGUUGCGCGCAAUUACUUUGGAUGAGGCAAACCCUGCGGGACUACGGUUACAAAUUAACCAAAGUCCCUUUGCUAUGUGAUAAUGAGAGUGCAAUCAAAAUGGCUGACAAUCCCGUCGAGCAUAGCCGCACUAAGCACAUAGCCAUUCGGUAUCAUUUUCUUAGGGAUCACCAACAAAAGGGAGAUAUCGAGAUUGCUUACAUUAAUACUAAAGAUCAAUUAGCCGAUAUCUUUACCAAGCCACUUGAUGAACAAACUUUUACCAAACUUAGGCAUGAGCUCAAUAUUCUUGAUUCCCGCAACUUCUUUUGUUAGAUUGCACACAUAGCUCAUUUAUAUACUUUUGAUCAUAUCUCUUUUAUAUAUGCUAUGACUAAUGUGUUUCCAAGUCUACUUCAAAUCAAGUCAUAGGUAUAUUGAAAGGGAAUUGGAGUUUUUUCGGCGAAGACAAAGGCUUCCACUCCGCAACCCAUCCUUCGCCGUCGCUCCAAGCCACUCUCCAUCUUUGGGGGAGAGAACAAAAGGACUUCAUCUUUGGUAUAAUCUUAACUCAUUUGUUUAUGACCAAAGAGGAAGUCAUUACUUCGUGGGCUCUAAUGAUUCCGUUUUUGGCGAUUCAUGCCAAAGGGGGAGAAAGUAUGAGCCCAAAGCAAAAGGACCGCACCAUCACCAAUUUCAAAAAACUUAGUGCUUUCCAAAAGUAUUUAUCAAUUGGUAUCCUAUUGUGUUCAAAAGGAGAAGAAAAUUAGUUUUUCAAAAAUGUAUGUCAAAACCCUCUUGAACACUAAGAGGUGGAUCUCCUUUAGGGGGAGUUUUGUUUAGUCAAAGGAAAAGCAUUUGAAAUAGGGGGAGAAAAUUUCAAAUCUUGAAAAUGCUUUGCAAACUCUUAUUCAUUUACCUUUGACUAUUUGCAAAAGAUUCUUGAAAUGGAUUCACAAAAAGAAUUUGCAAAAACAAAACAUGUGGUGCAAACGUGGUCCAAAAUGUUAUAUAAGAAAGAAACAGUCCAUGCAUAUCUUGUAAGUAUUUAUAUUGGCUCAAUUCUAAGCAACCUUUACACUUACAUUAUGCAAACUAGUUCAAUUAUGCACUUCUAUAUUUGCUUUGGUUUGUGUUGGCAUCAAUCACCAAAAAGGGGGAGAUUGAAAGGGAAUUAGGCUUACACCUAGUCCCUAAUUAAUUUUGGUGGUUGAAUUAACCAACACAAAUAAGUGGACUAACUAGUUUGCCCAAGUGUAUAGAUUAUACAGGUGUAAAAGGUUCACACUCAGCCAAUAAAAAGACCAAGUUUUGGAUUCAACAAAGGAGCAAAGGGGCAACCGAAGGCACCCCUGGUCUGGCGCACCGGACUGUCCGGUGUGCCACCGGACAUGUCCGGUGCACCAAGGGGACUCAGACUCAAACUCGCCACCUUCGGGAAUUCCCAGAGGCGACUCGGCUAUAAUUCACCGGACUGUCCGGUGUACACCGGACAGUGUCCGGUGCGCCAAGGGAGGUCGGCCUCAGGAACUCGCCAGCUUCGGGAAACUCCAACGGCUAGUCCGCUAUAAUUCACCGGACUGUCCGGUGUGCACCGGACUGUCCGGUGCGUCUCCGGAGCAACGGCUACCUCCGCGCCAACGGCUCUCUGCGGUGCAAUAAAUGAGCGCGCAGCGCGUGCAGAUGGCAGGCGUGCCCAUACUGGCACACCGGACAAGGAACAGUAGAUGUCCGGUGUGCACCGGACACCCAGGCGGGCCCACAAGUCAGAAGCUCCAACGGUCAGAAUCCAACGGCAGUGAUGACGUGGCAGGGGGCACCGGACUGUCCGGUGUGCACCGGACUGUCCGGUGCGCCAUCGAGCAGUCAGCCUCCCAACGGCCACAUUUGGUGGUUGGGGCUAUAAAUACCCCAACCACCCCACCAUUCAUUGCAUCCAAGUUCUCUACUUCCCAUCUACUACAAGAGCUCUAGCAUUCAAUUCUAGACACACCAAAGAUAUCAAAUCCUCUCCAUAUUCCACACAACGCCCUAGUGAUUAGAGAGAGAGAUUUGCUUGUGUUCUUUCGAGCUCUUGCGCUUGGAUUGCUUCCUUCUUUCUUGAUUCUUUCUUGUGAUCAAACACUCACUUGUAAUUAAGGCAAGAGGCACCAAUUGUGUGGUGGCCCUUGCGGGAAGUUUGAUUCCCAAGUGAUUUGAGAAGAGAAGCUCACUCGGUCCGAGGGACCGAUUGAGAGAGGGAAGGGUUGAAAGAGACCCGGCCUUUGUGGCCUCCUCAAACGGGGAGUAGGUUUGCAAAAACCGAACCUCGGUAAAACAAAUCCGCGUGUCACACUCUUCAUUUGCUUGCGAUUUGUUUUGCUCCCUCUCUCGCGGACUCGUUUAUACUUCUAACGCUAACCCGGCUUGUAGUUGUGUUUAUAUUUGUAAAUUUCAGUUUCGCCCUAUUCACCCCCCCUCUAGGCGACUUUCAAGCGUGCAAGACACCGUAGACGUGGUGGCCAAGCGCUUCCAGCGAGAUCCCGCUGAUGAUGAGUAGUGGGCUCUGCGAAGAGAAAGCAAAGGUUCCACUGGGAAGCGGCUUAUCAUAUUUUGGUUUUGUAAGAUACCUUUAAGUACUAUUUGAACUUAUCUGCAUGUUACUUCCCCCUUGCUAUGUGCGUUGUUAUCAACUUCUUCCCUGUUGCUUGGCCCCUCUGGAAUGUGGUCUCGACUUGUCGAGGCUGGAUGCCAGUAUAUCUAAGAAAGAGUUGGUGACCUGGCCCCCAGGAGGGUACUUCGACUGGGAUCUAGACCUGCACGCAGCCUUAGCUAGGAAGUUUUAGUAGCGCACCCAUCGGACCCAUUAAUUGGUAUCCUUCAUCUUUUGAUAAAAACAAUGGUGGCAAGCUUAAGCAGAAUAAGAUCACCAUAAGGCAAAUCUGGGGUCGAGUGAAUCUCUUCAUAACCUGGUGUUUAUGAGCAUAAAACAACGGACCGGGUUUAUAAGGGCGGACCUUACCGGGUUGGCGUACAUACAAGUGCUACCUAGUUACAAAGGAAGAAAACUGCAUUCCCCAGUUUUUCUUUUAUGGGAAGAACUUACGGAGGUGCUCUAUGUUCCAGGGAUUGGGCAGAAACUCUCCUUCAGUUGUGGCGAGGCGGACACACCCGGGUCGUCAUACUUCCGUCACCUUGAAGGGUCCUUCCCAGCUGGGGGAGAGUUUAUGGAGCCCUUCUCAGUUCAGUACUCGCCUUAGGACUAGGUCCCCAACCCUGAGCUCCUUACUAUGCACGAACCGUUGGUGGUAACGCCUGAGCGCUUGGUUGUACCGUGCAUUUCGGAUGGCUGCUUGCCAUCUGCGCUCAUCGAUGAGGUCCACGUCUUCACGCUGCAGCUGUCCCUGCAUAGAUUCCUCGAAAGCCUGGACCCGAGGAGAACCCAUGAUGAUUUCUGGGGGAAGACAGGCUUCGGCCCCGUAGACCAGGAAGAACGGGGUCUCCCCGGUGGCUCGGCUGGGUGUUGUUCGGUUCCCCCAUAGCACGGAUGGGAGCUCACUGACCUAAUUCACACCAUGCUUCUUCAAGUAGUCAUAGGUGCGCGUCUUGAGUCCCUUGAGGAUCUCUACAUUUGCCCUUUCCGCUUGGCCAUUGCUUCUAGGGUGGGCCACGGAUGCGAAGCAGAGUUGGGUGCCGAUGCCCUCGUAAUAUUCUUGGAAGAUUCGACUUGUAAACUGGGUUCUGUUGUCCAUGAUGAUACGGUUUGGGACCCCAAAUCUACAGACGAUGGACUUGAGGAAAGCGACAGCGGCACCUUGGGUGAUGUUGACCACAGGGGUGGCCUCUGGCCACUUAGUGAACUUGUCGAUGGCGACAUAGAGGUACCGGUACCCGCCAACGGCCCUGGGAAAUGGCCCUAGGAUAUCCACCCCCCAUAUGGCGAAUGGCCAAGAGGGUGGAAUCAUUUGCAGAGCCUGAGCUGGUGUGUGCAUUUGUUUUGCGUGGAAUUGACACGCCUUGCAGGACUUCACCAUCUCAGCUGCAUCCUGGAGAGCGGUUGGCCAGUAAAAGCCAUGCCAGAAGGCCUUACCGACCAGUGUGCGGGAUGAUGAAUGACUUCCGCAGUCUCCUCCAUGGAUCUCCGUGAGCAACUCAUGGCCCUCUUCCUGGGUAAUGCAUCGCAUGUGAAUGCCGUUGGGGCCACGGUGGUAGAGAUCCCCUUCCACCACCGCGUAACGCUUAGCCAACCGCACUAUGCGUUCUAUGGACACAUGGUCUUCAGGAAGGAUAUUCUCCUUUAGGUAGUCCCGGAUCUCAGAGAUCCAUGCAUCGGGACCACUAUGAGAUAUUGGCUGCGAUGCUAAGGGGCUGGCAGGCCCCCCUGUAGCAUACACAGCCUUUGGUGGGUUCUGGGACGCCACCAGGACCGCUAGCUUUGAGGUGCUAGUCUCGCCCCCUUCGCCCAGUUUGGCAGGCUAGACGGUGGGUCUCAGCAGCCGUCUUUCGAAGACGCCCUCGGGCACGGGUGCCUAAGUUGACCUUCACGAAGAGGUCAUCUGCUACUGAGUUGUCGGCCCGAGGAACAUGUUGCAGUUCUAGGGCCGUGAAGUCUUUCUCCAGUUUCCUUACGUGAAGAAGGUAGGCUGCGAGCCUGGGCUCAUUGCAGCUACACUCUCCGCGGACUUGCUUGAUGAUCAGCUAGGAGUCUCCGUUUACCAGGAGCUGGUGGAUGCCUAGGGAUAGGGCCGCCGAUAAGCCAAAGAUCAGUGCCUCGUACUCUGCCAUGUUGUUGGUGGCUUUGAACUCAAGGUGCACCAUGUACUUCACUUGAUCUCUGCUUGGGUCGAUGAGGAUCACCCCGGCCCCGCUGACUUGUUGGCGGGCAGACCCGUCGAAGUAGAGCGUCCAGUGGGGCUCGGUGAAGACCGGACCCCUGGGUUCCGCAGGUGUGGGGUCCGAGUCAGGACCCGGACCCCCAGGGACGCUUGAGGGGGGUGUCCACUCCACGAUGAAGUCAGCCAGGACCUGACUCUUGAUGGCGUGGCGAGGUCGGAAGUCCAGCUGGAACUCAGCGAGCUCCGCAGCCCACUUGGCAAUGUUCCUAUGGCGUUAGAGUUGUGGAGGAUGGCCCUUAAUGGGAAGGAGGUCACCACCACAAUACUGUGCGCUUGGAAAUAAUGGCGUAGUUUCCUGGACGCGACGAGCACAACAUAGAAGAGUUUGUGCGUCUCAAGGUACCUGGUUUUCGCCUCAUGGAGGACCUCACUGACGUAGUAGAGCGGCCUCUGAACGGUGCGGACCCCUGUAGCCGGUCCCAAGUUCUCAAGUUCCUGGCUUUCUGGUGCCGGUCUCUCGACGACCAACACCAUGCUCACCGCUUCUGCGGCCGUCGCAAUGUAUAAAUAUAGUGGCUCCUCUAGUUCUGGAGCCACCAAUAUUGGCAGAGACACCAAGUGCUUUUUCAACUCCUGGAAGGCUUGCUCCGCCUCUUCGGUCCAAGAGAAGGGCCCGGAUUUCCGUAGCAGCUUGAAGAAGGGCAGCGCUCUCUCAGCCAGCCUCGAAAUGAAGCGGCUAAGGGCGACCAAUGAUCCCGUAAGCUUCUGGACGUCCUUGACUCGGGCCGGGGGCCUCAUGCCUCAAUCGCUCUGAUCUUCUCCGAGUUUGCUUCAAUGCCCCAGUACGAAACCAGGAACCCUAGCAAUUUCCCAGCGGAAAUGCCGAAAACGUACUUGUCUGGGUUCAGCUUCGUGCGGGUUGCUCGUAGCUUGUCGAAGACCAGGGUCAAGUCUUCCACUAAGGUCGACCCUCUCUUAGUCUUGACCACGAUGUCAUCGACAUAGACUUCUACUUUGUCUCUAAUUAGGUCCCCGAAAGUCUUACCCAUUGCCCACACAAAUGUAGGCAAGGAAUUUUUCAGACCGUACGACAUAACAACAUAGCAGUAAAGCCCAUCCACUGUUACAAAAGCGGUAUGCUUUCUAUCUUCCCUAGACAUUUGGAUUUGGUGGAAACCAGAGUAAGCGUCUAAGAAUGAUAAUAGAUCGCACCCAGAGGUAGAAUCCACGAUUUGGUCUAUACGUGGCAGCGGAUACGAGUCCUUGGGACAAGCCUUUUUCAGGCUGGUGUAGUCGAUGCACAUCCGGAGCUUCCCAUUCGCUUUGGGGACAAUGACUGGGUUGGCCAGCCAUAUUGGGUGAUGAACCUCUUCGAUGAAGCCAGCGUCUAGCAGCUUCCGGACCUCCUUUCGGAUGAAGUCCUGUCGCUAAAUAAACUGUUUGCGAGGCUUCUGACUCACCGGCCUGGCGUCGGGGUUGAUCUUCAGGCAGUGCUCGAUCACCUCCCUGGGGAUCCCAGGCAUCUGCAAUGGCUCCCAUGCGAAUAUGUCGGCAUUUGCCUGGAGGAAGGCGAUGAGCGCGAGUUCCUAUUUCUCGUCCAGAUCACUCGCAAUGCGAGUGGUCUGGGUGGAAUCUGCAGCAAGACGGAUGGCUUUGAUGGGGACACCAUCCGCUCCGGAUGGUUGUACCUUUGGCGCCUUGGGGGCGCCUUGGUACCGGAGGUUGAGGGAUUCCUCCCUCCGUCGUCUGGGUGAGCAGUCUCUGCCGCUAGGGCAUGCAGCUUUUCUAGACAGGCAGCCUGAUACCACAUUGCUAUGGUAUCUUUCACCUCCAUUUUUUGUUUGAUUUGACAUGAGGAACAUCUCCUGUCCUUUCUUUGACUCUUUUUCUUUUUUUAUAUGGGAAAUGAUCCCAAAUGAUAAGUGAAUAGGUGUGGAAGUUAUAAUUGUAAAUAAACCAGGAUCGAAUCUAUGGAAGCAUUGGUUUAUACGUUCCUUUUAGUUUCGACUUUAGGGAUA
Molecule: long non-coding RNA, 68147 nt
Filed under: Zea mays
Lineage: Eukaryota; Viridiplantae; Streptophyta; Magnoliopsida; Poales; Poaceae
Description: long non-coding RNA (ZMAY_LNC004114)
Source: RNAcentral